This 52222-nucleotide long non-coding RNA is filed under the name Gossypium barbadense (sea-island cotton). RNAcentral's name for it is "long non-coding RNA (GBAR_LNC021196)". Lineage: Eukaryota; Viridiplantae; Streptophyta; Magnoliopsida; Malvales; Malvaceae. The record is from RNAcentral.
CUUUGUGUCUGCAGCCACUUUUGGUGCUUGUAGGUUCCUAGGAGUCCCACUUGAGUCAGGGAAGAUCCUAUCUGCACUCGCAACAUUCAGGAUUCUUCAGGAGCCAAUCUACAACCUUCCUGACACAAUCUCAAUGAUAGCUCAAACAAAGGUGUCACUUGAUCGAAUUGCUGCCUUCCUCCGGCUCGAUGACUUGCAGCCAGGUGCUAUAGAGAAGCUACCCAGUGGUAGUUCCGAUACAGCGAUUGAGAUUGCUGAUGGGAACUUCUCUUGGGAUAUGUCAUCCCCUACUGCAACACUAAAAGAUAUAAACUUGAAAGUUUCCCAUGGCAUGAGUGUUGCUGUUUGUGGUACGGUCGGCUCUGGCAAGUCAAGUUUACUUUCCUGUCUUUUGGGAGAGUUCCCAAAGAUAUCUGGAACUCUUAAGUUGUGUGGUACAACAGCCUAUGUUGCUCAGUCACCUUGGAUACAAAGUGGCAAGAUUGUAGACAACAUAUUGUUCGGUAAGGAAAUGGACAGAGACAAGUAUGACGAAGUGCUUGAAGCUUGUACCCUCAAGAAGGAUCUUGAAAUUCUCCCUUUCGGUGAUCAGACUGUUAUAGGCGAGAGGGGAAUCAAUCUGAGUGGUGGACAAAAGCAAAGAAUACAGAUUGCUCGUGCUCUAUACCAAGAUGCCGAUAUCUAUCUGUUUGAUGAUCCUUUCAGCGCAGUGGAUGCUCACACCGGAUCUCAUUUAUUUAAGGUAAUGUCUUCCUAUGAUCAUAUGGCAUGUAUUUUAAGAGUUCCUAUAGUUAAUUUAGUUGAAAUAGUUAUUUAUGAGCUCUGAGUAUCUUGUUUAAUCUUUUGAAUGGCAGGAGGUUUUACUAAAGAAUUUGAGAUCAAAAACAGUGAUUUAUGUCACUCAUCAAGUUGAGUUUUUACCAGCUGCUGACUUAAUUUUGGUGAGCUAUUAUUUACAUUAUUUUCAGUGAUUUUCAUCAUAUGUCUUAGAUUCAAGAAAUAAUUUAUUAACUGGAUUCAACUUGUAUUUACAUAUCUGCUAGGUGAUGAAAGAUGGGAGGAUUGUUCAAGCUGGAAAGUAUAAUGAUAUUCUCAAUUCAGGUACUGAUUUUAUGGAACUUGUGGGUGCACAUAAGAAAGCUUUGUCGGCCCUUGAUACUGUUGAAGCAAGUUCGGUUUCGGAACGAACUACCAGUGAAGGAGAAUGUGAUAUAGGUACUACUAAUGGGAAAGUGCAGAAAGAAGAAAACCAAGGUAACGAAAGCGGUAAAGUAGAUGAUGUCGGACCAAAAGGACAGCUUGUUCAAGAAGAAGAACGAGAGAAAGGACAAGUCGGGUUUUCGGUCUACUGGAAGUACAUCACAACAGCAUAUGGAGGAGCUCUUGUGCCUUUAAUAUUGCUUGCUCAGAUUCUCUUUGAGAUUUUUCAAAUAGGCAGCAACUAUUGGAUGGCUUGGGGAUCACCGAUGUCAGCAGACAUAAAGCCUCCUGUUGGGAGCUUUACACUAAUCAUGGUCUAUUUGGCUUUGGCCAUUGCAAGUGCCAUUUGUGUCUUUGCCAGAUCCAUGCUUCUUGGUACAGCUGGAUACAAAACAGCCACUCUUCUCUUUAAAAAGAUGCAUCUUUGCAUUUUCCGCGCUCCUAUGUCUUUCUUCGAUUCUACACCGAGUGGAAGAAUCCUCAACAGAGUAAGCAUCUAAUGUUUUUCCUGUAUGGAUACAAAAGAUUCAAUUUAUCUUCUUGUUUGUUGGCCUUUUUCCCCUAGUUUGUAUAGUAUUGUAAACUUUUUUGCUGCCUCUUAUAGGCUUCUACAGAUCAACGUGCAGUAGAUAUGGACAUUGCGCACCAAGUCGCCACAUUUGCUUUCUCAGUUAUCCAGCUACUUGGAAUCAUUUCAGUCAUGUCUCAAGUUGCUUGGCAGAUCUUUAUCAUUUUUAUUCCAGUGAUUGCUACCUGCAUUUGGUAUCAGGUAACUCUUGCCGAAUUGUGGCUAUGCAAUGCAUGAAAUCAUGAACUUAUUACAAUGCAGCAACAUAUCGAAAAUCUCGAAUUUUCUAAUUUGUAAAACUCAUUUAAUCAUUGCCUUAUUGCUGAACAAAGGAAUGCUCAUAAACUUGUAAUCUCGCAGCAAUAUUACAUAUCUUCUGCACGAGAACUUUCGCGGCUGGUUGGGGUAUGCCAAGCUCCAGUAAUACAGAAUUUUGCUGAAACAAUUUUAGGAGCAACAACUAUAAGGAGCUUUGAUCAAGAAAAAAGGUUCCAAGACACAAACAUGGCACUGACCGACUCGUAUUCUCGUCCAAAAUUUUAUGUUGCUGGUGCAAUGGAAUGGCUGUGCUUCCGCCUGGACUUAUUGUCUUCUGUUACUUUUGCCUUCUCUUUAUUCAUUUUAAUCUCUUUACCGGAGGGAGUUAUUGAUCCGGGUAAGUAAAUGCAGAUUCAUAUUGGCACCUUUGUUGACUACUAGAUAACAAAUGUUCUAGGAGAAUGAUUUGAUGCGUUUUUCGUUCGUUUAGCUAUUGCCGGGUUAGCGGUGACGUAUGGACUCAAUCUAAAUAUAUUGCAAGCUUGGGUGGUAUGGACUAUGUGCAAUAUGGAGAAUAAAAUUAUAUCUGUUGAGAGAAUACUUCAAUACUGUAGUAUUCCUAGUGAGCCUGCCCUUGUGGUGGAAACGAAUCGCCCAGACCAUUGUUGGCCGUACCACGGAGAAGUUCAUAUUCGUGAUCUGCAGGUAAGGCAGUGUUGUGGCGUUCUAUGAUUCUGUUUCCAAUGCAUUCGCCGUAUUAAAUAAACGAUGAUGGUCUCGAUGUAGGUACGAUAUGCUCCGCACAUGCCACUUGUGUUGCGAGGCCUGACCUGCACAUUUCCUGGAGGGUUGAAAACCGGUAUUGUAGGGAGAACAGGCAGUGGUAAAUCAACUCUCAUACAAACACUUUUCCGGACCGUUGAACCUGCAGCAGGGCAGAUCUUAAUCGAUGGUGUAAACAUCUCAUCGCUCGGGUUGCAUGAUUUGCGUUCACGACUCAGCAUCAUCCCUCAAGAGCCUACCAUGUUCGAAGGGACUAUACGAAGCAACUUGGACCCUCUUGAAGAAUACACAGAUGAACAGAUUUGGGAGGUAGGUUCAUUUUAGUAAAACACUGUCUUUUAUGAUCUGUAAUCCAAGUCUAACAUCCAUCAUUAUUGUGUUUUAAAGGCAUUGGAUAAAUGCCAACUCGGGGAUAGAGUUCGAAACAAGGCCGGCCAGCUCGAUUCUUCAGGUUCGAUCCUUCUGUCUUAAAACACAAAUGAGUUUGUCUUCUUUUGCAUAAGUUAUACUUUGUAUGAUUAUUGUUGUGCAGUUAGUGAGAAUGGAGAGAAUUGGAGCAUGGGGCAAAGGCAGUUGGUGUGCCUUGGGCGUGUACUAUUGAAGAAAAGUAAGAUCUUAGUGCUCGAUGAAGCGACCGCAUCGGUGGAUACAGCCACCGACAACCUAAUACAGACGACGUUAAGGGAGCACUUCUCCGAUUGUACGGUCAUAACAAUCGCUCACCGAACAACUUCGGUUCUGGAUAGCGACAUGGUUCUGCUUUUAAGUCAUGGUUAGUAGUACAGUAAGGUAUGCUCAUUAAGAUGGAUUCUUUGAAGUUCAUUUCAUUUGAAUAGAAAAAAAAACACAUUUGUUUUUGCAGGACUUAUAGAAGAAUAUGAUAGUCCAUCAAGUUUGCUGGAAAACAAGUCUUCAUCAUUUGCACAGCUUGUAGCAGAGUACACUGUGAGAUCAAAUUCUAGUUUUUGAUAGAAACUGGAUUGAGUUAGAUGAUGAAAAUUCCGGAGUGUUAAUAAUUAGUAAUGUUUUAUGUUGCUAGAAAUAUUCGUAUCUGUGUUACAUACUUAUAUCAAACACGUGUAUGAAGAUAUAACUUUCAAAAAUAUUCUAAAUUUAAAGAGAAACUUAUAAAAAAAAAGGUAACAUUAUUCGUGUUAAAUGCAUAUGUAUACUUGAUAUUCACAUCCAAAUCCGAAUAAAUUUAAAAUGUCUAGCUUUAAUGUUCAAUAAAUUCAAAUGAUAAUCAUUUUCUUUACUUUUCUUUCCUUUCCCCUUGUUUACUCUAAUCUAAACAUAAAGUUACUUAAUAUGAUAUAUAAAAAGAUUGUGAUAUAGUAAAACUUUGUACAUAAAUUCUCAAGUUUAGUGGUUUUUAUCUUUUUAUUAAGAUUUAAAUGUAAAACUGACCUUUAAAUUAUAAUACUUUUCCCACUUAAAUAUUUAAAGUUUUUUUUGUUAAAAGUGAUACCUAAACUAUUAAUUCCGUCUCAUUUUACUCUCAAAACACAAUACUAAUCAAUAAAAACAUGACAUGUAGUACAUUCUUAUCUAAACGUCGACAUACAUUUUUAAAAAAAAAUAAAUGAGAUAAAAAAUUGAUAAUUUAAAUACUAUUUUUGAGAAAAAUAAAUAAAUAUUUAACUAAAAAAAUAGUACAAUUGAAUGACACUUAAAAUUGCGUCUAUCAUGUUAUCACUUAUUUGUGAUUUCUAAUUGGAUUAUCAAAUCACAUAAAAUUAUAUAUCACUUAUAUCUAAUUGAAUAUUUAUUUAAUUCAAUCACACGAAUUAUUUAAAAAUUUUUAGACAAUUUGACUUGACUCAAUUAAAUAUUUAUCUUUUAUUUUUGACCGUAGAACGAGUUUGAUAUGAACCCUAAUAUGUGAAGCUGGAAGAUGGGUUUUGUUUACAUGAUAUGUAUCCUUCUAGUGGAGUGAUUAAGAAGAUGAGCACAAUAAUACGAUCAAUAAAGUAGAUGACGACACAUUAUUUAAAAUGAAGUUAAAUGGAUUUAGUUUUAUUAAUUUUAGAUAAUAUAUAUUAUCACAUGAUUUACUAAUGUUAUACAUCAUUGUUUCAAAUAUUAAGACUUAAUUAAAACUUCAAUUUCCAAUGCAUUAUAAUUCUUUUAUAUAUUAUUAUAUGUAAAUUUUGAUUUUGUUGGCGUGAAAUUUUAAAUUUAAUAUUUAUAGGUUAAAUUUAUGUAAUUUAAUAAUCAUCUUAUUUAAUAAUACAUGGACUAAAUUAAUCUAUUAAUAGAAGGUAAAAUUUGAUUAAGUCCCUAUAAUGGAGGGUGCUUUUGGCAUAGCGGGCCCCCAAUGGGAGGCCCACACAACAGGCUAUUAGCUCAGUCAUAAAGCGCGCCCCUGAUAAUUAAUGCAUCAUUGUGCCAAGGCUAUAAGGGCUCUCAGCCACAUGGAUAGUUCAAUGUGCUCAUCAGCACCUGACCCUGAGAUGUGGAUCAUCCAAAACACAUUAGCAUGGCGUACUUCUCCUAUUCGAACUGGGGUUUGAAACCAAACUUCUCCUCAGGAGGAUAUAUUGGGCGAUUCAAGUGAGAUCCAAUGUAGAUCCAACUUUCUAUUCACUCAUGGGAUUUAGGCGGUCCCGGGGACCAUUUAAGUGCAUUCACCUUUUUUUUUCCUCUAUUUGAGCUCUAAAACUUGAAUCAAAUGAAAGUUUUUAUACGUUAAUCAAAUGCUUAAAGAUAUAUAUAUAUUUAAAAAUCAGCUUAAUAACAUUAUCACGUUGAACUAAUUAACAACAUUAUAAAAGAUUAUCAAAUCCGGAAUUAUUCACAACCUUGACCUAUUAUUAUAUGAUUAAUUGAUCUCCAACUUGAAGUUUAAUAUGUGUCAAUCCUCCUGCAGGACAUCUCUGGAACAGGAAGUGAGACAUCAUGCAACAACAUUAGACUGGGCCAUGUCUGAAAUACUGAAAAACUCUCAUGUAAUGAAAAUGGCAAAGUAACUAAAGCAAGGAUCCAUGUACUGAAAUAGUGAAAGAAACCUUGAGGCUACACCCACCUGUUCCUUUGAACAUGAGACAAAACAUUGAGAACUGUGUGAUCAAUGGCUAUGGCAUCCCUUUCAAAGACCAAGGUCCUUGUUGCUGGGGAAAAGGUGAAGUUAUUACGUGCAUAUAUUGAAGAUUCGAUCAUAUGUUGUAUUGGAAAAUAUUAGAAUAUAAAAUUUGAUAAUGAGAUCUAACAUGAGUUGCAAUUGCGAGAGGUUAUGCAUAGUAAAUUAUGAUCCAAAAGGUUGGUAUGAAAUUGGGACGAAUUAAUCAACUCGAUUUGGAAUAUAGUAUGCUAUAAUGUUAUAUUCUUGAACUAGUUUAUGGAACUUAUUUUAAUGAGCUUAAGCGGAAUAAAUGAUGUUCUUGGUAGUAUGCUUUGCAUAGGUGUAAUUAUUGAGUGUUUUCAUUAACUUAUUUGUGUUGAUACUAAAUUUGUAGAAAUACUGUUAAGUUGAUUACUCAGCGUACGAUUUGUUUUCCAUGCGCAAGUUAGAAUAUAUUAAAGAUCCUAAAUUUCGGUUUCAGUAUCCAGAGAACAUCCUAAACUCAACAAUGUUGAUGUAUUUACGUUUUUGAAUAGUUUGGCAUGUACCUAUCUAGUUAAGUCAUUGCUAGUAUAUCUUUAUAUUUAUAUGAACUUGAGUAUCAAAUUAGUAUUUAUUGAAUUUAAUAAAUAGUGUUAUUAUAUGCUCAUAAGUAAGUUAUUUGAAAUGUGAUGUGUAUUCGUAUCUAAAUUAAUUGUAGUUUUCCUGACAACGAAUGUGACACAUUGUAGCUCAGACUCGACGAUCGGGUCGAGUAUGAAAUGUUACACAAAGAGUACAAAAACUUGAAUUGUAUUUUAAUAUUUACUUUAUAAUUUGACUAAAAAAUAAUUAAUAAUUAACCUAACACGAAGCACUAUAAAAUACAUACUAGUUAGUAUUAAGGGUUUUUCACCGGGGUAAUACAAAAAAUAAUAAUUACAAAAAUGGGGCAUAUUGUAGAUUAUUUAUGAGAAUGAUGUACAAUAAAAUUAGGUGCCUCCUAGCACCACCUAUAAAAAAUAAAAAUUUAAUAAAAAUAAAUAAAAAUAAUAAAUUAAAAAACAAUAUUUUAAUCUAAAAAAUGGUGACCUAAAUGUUAGUCCAUUUUAAUUCAUCGUAAUUUGAUCUAUGUUUUCAAAUUUAAAAAUUUAGUUAAAUUAUUUAAUAAUAAAUUAUUGAGUUGAUUUUAUUAAUUCAUUGUAUAUGGAUUUAAUAAACCGUUGGUCUUGUAGUAAGUAAUUUGAUGAUCAAGUAUAAUGGUAGUAAAUAAUUUUGCCUAACUUUUUAAAUUCGAAAACAUAAGAAGAUCAAAUUAUAAUAAAUUAAAAUACAUGGACUAACUUUUAAUUUCUAUAAAAUAGAGGUAUGAAAUUCAAAAUUAUACUACAAUCACCCCAAAUUUAAAAAAUAAAAAGUUAGCACAUUGGGUCACUUUUUUAGAUUAAAAUAUUAUUUUUUAUAUUUAAAUAAAAUAUUUUAUAGCUAAUACCACUUGACACAUAACAAUAUUUAAUUUUACUAUAAAAUCUAUUAUUCUCGUAAUUAAUAUGCAACAUGCACAUUUUCGUAAUUAAAUUUUUUUAUUAAAGACAAUUUUCCAGUGUAAGCCCAUUUUUUUAUUCAUGUGUUUACCCCUUGGAAGACAAGUGUCUGACUGCAGAAUCCCAAGUUUUGCAUUGCAUGGUGUGCUGAGUUCCUGACGACCAUGUUUUUGGCCUUUUCUCUCUUUUUCUUUUUUAAUUACAAAAAUAAAAUAAAACUCUAACAAUAAUACAAUUAGUGCGAUUUAAAUUUAAAUUAUACGAAAAAUAAAUAUUCUGACAAUCAGAUCAACACACAAAAUUUGACUUUUUUUUGUUCUUUGCUCACCCUCCACCAAGUGACAUAUAAUAUGAAUACGAGUCAACAACAUAAACAAUCGUUGAAAAGUGUUCAAUUUAGUCCUCAAAGUAUGACUUGUAUUUCAAAUUCAUCUCCAAAGUUUAAAUUGUAUUAAUUAAGUCACAAAAAUAUCAAUAUCAUAUCUAUUAAAUUAUUCCAUUAAGUCAGUCAUUAACCUAAACAUUAAAGGUAGCUCAAAUCUAGCAGUAGUAUAUUAAAACCCCAUAGGUCAAAUUAUAAAACCUUGAAUCUAUAUAUUUAUAAAAAGGAAUUCUCUUAAAUUUUAUUGAUGUUUUUUUUAAAAAAAAUAUUAGAUGUAAGCUAUUCAUGCUAAAAUUAUAUAUAUGCAUUUAAAAUUUUAUAAAAAUAUUUAAAAUACAUUUCAUGUUAUAUCUGAAUCAAUAUUUAUUAUUUAAAGUGAUGGCUACACCCGCAAAUGAAUCUUAAUGACAUAAUACUAAUAAUUUGAGAAUACAAUAAUUAUUUGAAAUAUAGGGAUGAAUUUAAAAUUUGAUCAAUAAAUUAGGAAUAUUAGUUGAAACUUGAAAUUAAGUCCUUCGUCCCUCGUUCCUGCUAAUUUAGUAUUUUGUUAGUUCUGGAAAACUGACACUAAAGUAAAAAAAGACUUUGAUAAUUAAUCCUAUAUUUUAUGUUUUCAGAGUAAAAAAUCACGUCAGUGCGUUUCCCUUCUGCUCUCUCCGCACCCAAUCUUGCUCACCACGCUUUUCUCUCCUCCAAGUAUUUUUCUUGGUCUUUCUUUUUUAGUCUCAUUUGUAUAUAAACACAAAGCCAGAAGCCUUCAAACACUUGAAACCAAUCAAAACUUUUAUCCAAACACACAAAACCCAAGUUUUUUCUUCAGCCAAAGCUCCAAAAAAAAUGGAACUUUUUGCUUCACAAUCAUCUUUACUAAUGAGUUCAGCUACUAGUUUUGAUUUUCUACUAAUACCCACUUUUCUUGAUGGGUUUUCUGCUUCAUUACACUUAGUUUUGUUGCUUUUAUUGUUAAUCUUGUGGGUGGUUAAAAAAGUUAGUAGGGAAGGUUCAAAGGAAAGACAGGUUUUAUGGUAUAAGCAAACAUUAGCUUGUUGUUUUGUUGUUUCAGUUUCUAAUGUUGUCUUGUGCUUGUUAAGUUAUUUUUAUACGAAUGGUUGGUCAGAGGAUAAGUGAGUGAGUCUUAUUGAUUAUGCAUUGAAAGCACGUGCUUGGGGUGCAUGUGCAACAUGUGUUUACAUGCAUUGUCAACUCUCCAGUCCUGGUGAACAAAAGAGGUUCCCUGUUGUGUUGAGAAUUUGGUGGGGUUUUAACUUUUCAAUUUCAUGUUAUUGUCUUGUUAUAGACAUUGUUCUCAUCAAAAAACAUGUUUCUUUCCCAAGCCAGUAUUUAGUAUCUGAUGUCUUAUCUGUUGUUACUGGUUUGUUUCUAUGUAUUGUUGGGUUCUUUUUAAGAAAUGAGGGUGUUAAAUUAAUAUCUCAUAUAUUGAGAGAUCUAUUCUUUUUAGAGAAAUUUUCUAAGUGUUCGAACCCCUCGAUAGGUUGAUAUUGUUCUUGAAUUAAGGUUUUGUGUCUCGACCAUGAAAAAAGCUCAAGUCGAAAAUGAGAUUCAUAGAGCGAGAGCACCUUAUUGAAUUAUGCAGAGAUGAUAGCAUAUGUGUCCUUAAAUGCCAAGGGUUCAAACUGUCCAUUUUUCAUAUUUUCAAUAUGUACAUACAUUUAAAUUUUUUUUUUUUUUACAUAAUGAUGCCACGUGAUAUUUAAUGUCUACAAAAAAAUAGACUAAAAAAAUAUAAGACAGGCACACUUUAGAAACCAAAUUGGAAAUUCGAGUAUACUUUAAUACCAAAUUUGGACAAAAAAAUUUAGAUACCAAAAUAAGAAAACAGGUAUACUUUAAAAGUCAAACCGUGAAUUAAACCAAUAAAGUUGGCUUUUUAUUUCAUUAUGCAAAGGACUGUGAGGCUUUCAUUUGGAAGCCAAGGCAUCGUAAGUAGACUGUCAACUUUUAAUCAAAUUUUUUAACUGCUAUGCUACUUUUUAAGGCACCAUUUGGACGAAGAAACAGUAAAUCACAAGGCAAUGCUGUUGGUUGAUAAGUCAUUCAUUUGCACAUAAAAGAGCCAAGACCAAGAGGAAUAUUUUCUGCUUAGGCAGAAAUAGAACAUUAUGUUUCUUGUUUCUACCAUUUAAUAACACCUAACUUCACAGUUUCUUUGUUUGUCAGUGAAAUGAGGCUACUGAAUGGCAAAAUUAAUCAAGUGCAAGCUCUCUCUUGGAGCCUUUAUGCAUUAUGAGCUCUAAAUCUGAUCAGUCAUUUUGGGUUUUUCCCCUAAGAGACCAAAAUCAUCAGACAAAAGGACUUGGUGGGUUGCAUCAGUACCUGAUGUUGUUUAUGCCUAACUGUCGAAUUCUCUAAUGAAGAGGGGUAAGGUAAUGCAUGUAAAGAGGUACAGUGGAAAUGUACUGCAGCCAUAGGUAUGCAUUUUUCUGCAUUCUGUUAAAUCAUAUUCUCUGUUAAAAAAAAUUGGAAUAUAUAAGCUUGUUAUCAAUGUCAAUCCUUUUAAGCUUGUGUUAUUUUUCAUGAUCAUAUUUCAUUUUAUCUACUACAUAAACGUUAUCUUUAGUUGUUUCAUUUGCCGCAGGUCUUGACUUGAAUUUCACAAUCAUGUAUUAUUCUUUUUUCCUCUGUCAUUUCAUUAGUAUUUGACUUAAAUUUAUCACUUGUAUUUUUAGAGCAAAUUUAUCACAUGCUUUUUGUCAUAAAAUUCAUGCUAGUUUGCAUGUUAUUCACAUAAUUGGAUUGAGAACAGGAUCUUGAUAUGGAAUUACAGCAUGUAUGUUAUUUAAUCAGAUAUCCGUAUGCAGCUGUUGAUUAAAGGUUAGUUGAGUUAAGCUUGCAACUUCAAAAUAGCUCGUGGACCUACGCUCCCAACUGAUAUUAUAAAGGCUCACCGGUUUAAGAUCGCAGCCUUCAAAACAGCUCGCAAACUUACAUUCCCAACUGAUAUUAUAAAGGCUCACCAGUUUAAGAUCACAGCCUCCAAAACAGUUCACGGACCUAUGCUCCCAGCUAAUAUUAUAAAAGCUCACUGGUUUAAGAUCGCAACCUCCAAAACAACACUCCUAGUUGAUAUUAUAAAGACUCGCCGGUCUAAGAUCGCAGCCUCCAAAACAACUCGCGGACCUACGUUCCCAAUUGAUAUUAUAAAGGCUCGCUGGUUUAAGCCUCCAAAACAGCUCACGGACCUACGUUCCUAGCUAAUAUUAUAAAGGCUAACCGGUUUAAGAUCGUAACCUCUAAAGUAGCUCGCAAACCUGCGUUCUUAGCUGAUAUUAUAAAGGUUUAGUUGAUUUAGGAUCGCAGCCUCCGAACAGUUCACUGAUUUAAAAUCACAACUGAUAUCGAACAAUUUUCUUUGAGUCCGCUGAUUUACAAAUUCUUACGGGAAAUACAGUUUGCGGUAUUCUGCAUUACAAUUUUUGACUCUUGUUCCGCACUAUCGGACAACAAAAUUUGUUCAAUAAGGUUUCAAGUUAAAACUUAUAUAGUAAGCCCCAAAUUACGCACAUCAUAAGUGUAAACUUGUUUGAGAAGAGUCACUUUAUAACUCUUCUUCGACAAGAUGAGGGAUAAAUUAUUAUAUUAAUAAUAAAAAGAACUAGACCCGAAAUCCAACUCGAUUACCUGACCUAUAUAAUAAAAUUCUAAGGCACGGUACUAAGGGGGGCUUCCUCUUCCUGUCUGCUCCUGGUUCUCUACUCUUAGAGAAUUAACCACUCAACCCUAUCUAUUUUCACAAUAGUUGAUCCAGUGCAUCAACACCUUUUGCUAAAUAAAUUAUCACUUAAAAUUGCGUCUAUCAUGUUAUCAAUUAUUUGUGAUUUAUUAUCGAAUCACAUAAAGUUGCAUAUGACUUACUUUAUUACGCAUAUAUUUAUUUGAAUAUUUAACUCAAUCACAUAAAUUAUAUGAAAUUUUUUAAUCGCAUUGAUUUGACUUGAACGGAUACUUAUCUUUUAUUUUUUAUACUUUAGAUCGAGUUCAAUAUGAACCCUAAUAUGUGAAGCUGGAAGGUGAGUCUUGUUUACCUGAUAUAUGUAUCCUUCCAGUGGAGUGAUUAAGAAGAUGAGCACAACGACAGGGUCCUUGAGAACAUGGUUAAUGAGCAUAAAAAGAAAAAAAGAUGAAGAUGAAGAAUGCUACAGGCAACGACAAAUAAGAUUUGAUUGAUAUUUUACUUAAGAUUUAGCAAUAACGAGAUAUUGAGUUUUCAAUGGAGAAUGAUAACAUAAAAGCAAUCAUUCGAGUUAAUCAGAUUUAUGUUUGAUAUAUUGAUCACAUAUAAUUAUAUAUACGAUUAAUAAAUCGAAUGAUGACACAUCAUUUGAAAUGAAAAAAAUAAAUUUAAUUUUACUAAUUUUAAAUGAUAUAUUUUCAUUUGAUAUACUGACAGUAUAAAUUAUCGUUUCAAAUAUUAACAUUCAAUUUCAAUUUCAAUUUCCAAUUCAUUAUAAUUUUAUUAUUAUAGGUCAAAUUUAAUUUUGAUGUUUAUUUUUUUACAUAAUUUAAUAAUCAUCCUAUUUUAUAAUAUUAUUAACUAGAAUUAUUUUUAUUUACCAUAUAAAAAAUGUCUUGAAAAUUAUUUUUUCAAUUAUAAUUAAAUUCCAAACAAAAGAUUUUAUCUACAGAACAAUAAAAAAUUUAAAAAAUAUUAAUUCUGUUAAAUAGUAAAUGUUAACUUAUUCCAAUUUAAUCUUAUUUAAUUAUUUUAAUAAUAUAUGGACUAAAUUAAUUCAUUUCAUAAUAAAAGGUCGAAUUUGAUUAAAUUCUUAUAAUAGAGGGACCAAGUACAUUCACAUUCUUUCCCCUCUAUUCGAGCCCUGUUAAAAUAAAUGAAACUUCAAUCAAAUUAAAGUUUUUAUACUAUAAUCAAAUGCUUUAAAAUAAUUGCCUUGACAUUUUAAUAAAAUAGUUAAUAAUAUUAUGAGUUUAAACUAAUUAAUAACAUUAUAAAAUAUUAUGAAAUUAAAAUUAAAUCCGGAAUUAAUCACAACCUUGACCUAUUAUUAUAUAAUUAAUUGAUCUCCAAACUUGAAGUUUAAUGACAUUUUUGGAAUAGGGGUGAGUAAAAUUCUAAAAAAUCAAAAAAAAUUAAAUCUCAAAUUAAUCGAAUCGAAUUAUUCGAAUUAUUUGAGUUUCGAGUUCAAAUCAAAUUAAAUUUUACAAUUUGAAUUACAUAAAUAAUUCGAAUAACAUAUUGGUAUAAAUACUUUUUGGUCCCUAUCAAGCUUGAAAAUGAGCAAAUUGAUCUCUCUCAACAAAAAUUGCAAAAAAAUAAAUCAAAAUAAUUUUCAAAAUUUUUAAAUAUUUAUAAAAAUUUCAAAAUAUAUAUAAUAUAUAAAGAAAGUUAAAAAUUAAAAAUUUUCUAGAAUAAUAAUUUUAAGAUCUAAAUAAGUUAAUUAAUUAUUCAAAUUUAUCAUACUAAAAUAUUUUAUUAUUAUUUUGCUUUGAAUUUUUUUUAAAUAUUUAUUGUUUCAAAUUUAUGUGCUCUAACAUAAAAUUAGUUAUACUAUAAUAAGAUUUUAAUUUAACAUGCUUAAUUUUUUAAUUUAACUUGAAUAAUUUCACUCGAUUCAACUCGAUUCGAAAAAAAAUUUAAAAUCGAAUUAAAAUGCUAAAAUAGAACUCGUUAACUCUAUUAAUUUAAAAAACUUUCACUCGAUUGAUUGAAUAUUCUCCCCUACUUUGAAACAGAAAGUGAGACAUCAUGCAGCAACAUUACACUGGGCAAGUGAGAAACUCUCAUGUUAUGAAAUUGGCUAAGUAACUAAAGGAAGGAUCCAUGAACCGAAAUUUUGGAGAUCAAUAGUGAAAGAAACCUUGAAGCUACACCCACCUGUUCCUUUGAACAUCAGACAAAACAUUGAGAACUGUAUGUAGGGAUGAACAAAAUCUAAUUCGAUUUAAAAAAUUUGAUAAAAAAUUUAAAUUUUAAAUUAAAUAGUUCGAAUUAUUUGAGUUAAUCAAGUUAUUCGAAUUAACUCGAAUAAAAAAUUAAUUUUUUCGGUUUAACUCAAAUAUGAAUUACACCAUUCGAGUUAUUCAAAAAUUCAAAUAAGAGGCAAUGGAGCUAAUAGUGGUUGGUUUACUCCUUCUAGAGGGCUAAGGCAAGGAGACCCCCUCAGUCCUUAUCUAUUUUUGAUUUGUGCUGAAGGUUUUUCAUUGCUUAUUCAGGAAGCAAAAGCCAGAGGAGGGAUGCUGGGGGCACCUAUUGGUAGGGAGAAAUUUUCGGUCAACUAUUUAUUUUUGCAGAUGAUUGUAUUCUCUUCGGUGACGCCUCUUGUGAAGGAGCUGAGGUGGUUCGGACUAUCAUCCAUGAAUACGAAAUGGCCUCAGGGCAGCGAGUGAACUUUAAUAAACCCCUCAUUUAUUUUGGUGCAAAUGUUGAUGCAAAUGUUCAGGAGGAUAUUGUCAGGCUUUUAGGGGUCCAUUUGGCCUCUAAUCCCGAGAAGUAUCUCAGUUUGCCCAUGAUGGUGGGUAGGAGGAAGAAGUGGGCUUUUGCAAACUUUGUGGACCGAUUCAGGAAACGAAUUGAGGGGUGGAGUAUGCGCUAUUUGUCAACGGGGGUAAGGAGGUUUUCAUAAAAUCAGUUUUGCAAGCAACCCCAAUUUAUGCUAUGCAAUGUUUUCUUUUGCCAAAGGCGUUAUGCAAAACUCUGGAAGGCACUAUGAAUCGAUUCUGGUGGAUGAAUAAUAAAACCUUGAAGGGUAUUCACUGGAGUUCGUGGGAUGUUCUAUGUAAACCGAAAUGUUUUGGAGGCUUGGGGUUUAAAAACUUAUUUCUGUUUAAUAAGGCAUUAUUAGCAAAACAAGUGUGGUGUAUGUUAACCCAGCCCCAUUGUUUGUUAGCUAAGGUUUUAAAAGCCCGCUAUUUUCCGUUUUCUGACAUUUUAGCAGCAAAGGUUGGUUCUUACCCUUCAUUUACCUGGAGGAGUAUUUGUAGCGCUCGGUAGUUGAUCGGAGAUGGGUAUCUUGUGGAGAGUGGGAAAUGGUACUCGUAUUAACAUUUGGAUGAUCCUUGGUUACCUGGAAGGGAGAAUAACAGAGUCCCAGUUCAAGUAAUUAUGCCGAAUUGGUCCACUGUGUACCAGUUAAUUAAUAAUGAUGACAGUACCUGGAAUAGAGAGUUAAUACACAAUUUAGUGGAUGAUGUCACAGCAAGCCGAAUCCUUGCCAUCCCUAUUUCAGAAAGCCGACCAGAAGAUAUGCGGGUAUGGAAAUAUGAAGGCUCAGGAGAGUAUACUGUCAGGAGCGGAUAUAGGGUCCUCAUUACAGAGUAUUUACAUAGUAAUUUACAUACAUCAACUAGAGAUGAGGAUUACAAAGAUUUCUAUAUAGAUCUAUGGGCUUUGAAAAUUCCAGCGAAAAUAAAAAUGCAUAUUUGGAGGCUUUUCAACAAUUUGGUGCCUCAUUAUGGUCCAUGAAGGGGUUAAGUUUUCUAUGUCAGCUUUGUUGGGGUUUAUUUGGGGUUAUGAACAGGAACUAUGGUUUGCUCAAGAGAAUCUGUGUUUCUUCUGCUCUUCUGGGUAACGAACUUUGGAGGCCUCCUGACUAUGGCUUUAUUAAAAUUAAUUUUGAUGCGUCGUAUAUCCAAGAUAAAAAGUUUGCAAUAACAGCAGUCCUAGCCAGAGAUUACAGAGGGGAAGUUGUGGAGGCAGAUACUUAUCUGAUGGAAGAUGUGGAUGAUGUUUUUGUGGCAGAAGCUCGUGCUUGUGAAACAGCGUUACGCCUUGCAAGUAUGAAGAGUUUUCGACGGCUGAUUGUGGAAGGUGAUUCUCUGUCAGUCAUUAAAAAAUUAAAUACACAAGGGGAAGAUAGAUCGGUCAUUAGACCGAUUAUUCAUAAUAUUCAUCGAUUGCAGGUGGGUUUUGACAAAGUCUCUUACAUUUUUGUGCCCCGCUCGGUUAAUGCUGCAGCGCAUGCUUUGGCGACGGAGGGUCGGAGAAGAAGGGUACAAGGGAACUGGGUUGAUGGUCUACUGGAGACAGUGAGGCUAGUGGUAAAGGAAGACUGGUUAAGAUAGAAUCUGAGGAACUAAGAUCUAUAUUUUGCUUUGUUUUUGGAGAAGGUUCUUAGAACUCCAAUGCCGUUUGCAAAGCUUUGUUGGCUCUUGAUUUGGAUCGUCAAUACUGAGGAGAUGGAGCACUAUUCCGACUGAUAUUGGAAGUUGAAAGAUAUUUCUGCAGGCUCACACGUUUUUCUAUUAGUUUUAAUUAGUUGUUCAGUACUUUUUAGGCUUUCACUUUUAUUUUGCUUGACAGCUGUGGUAGGUUUCUCUUUUGUCGGUUUCUCUGCUGUUAGUGACAUUUCAGUUUUGGUUUUUGAGCCUGGUAAAAUUAAUAUCAGUCUAUUUUUGACAAAAAAAAAAUUUUAAAUAAUUAAAUUAAAAGAUAAAUUUACGUUGUUUUGAUAAAUGUUUAUUCAUUUAAAAGGUAAAAUUAUUAUAUUGUUUAUGUAAUUAAAUAAUCUUGUAAUUUAUCUACUAGUUAAAUAAUCGGUCCAUCUAAACGCAACAUUAAGUAUAAAUAAUAGAAUUCGUUAACUCAACUCAAUUUGACUUGAAAUUUUUUGACUCGAUUCGUAAAAAUUUCAAAUUCAGUUGGGUUGCUAAAUAGGAUUUGUCAACUCGACUAAUUCAAAUUUUUUUUACUCAAUUUGAUUCGACUCGAUCAAAUAUCACUCUUAACUGUGUGAUCAAUGGCUAUGGCAUCCCUUCAAAGCCCAAUGUUCUCAUUUAAUGCAUGGGCCAUGUAAAGGAUCCUUGUUGUUGGGGAAAAGGUGAGCUGUUUUGGGUGAGAGCAGCUCUAUUGGUGGUUUUAAUGAAGGAAAGCUUGAGUACAUGUAUAUGUAUAUGCCAUUUGGUGGUGGGGAAGCCAAAAAAAUUGUUUGAAUGAGUAAAAAAAAUUGUUAGAAGGAAGAAUGAUUUGGUCUUAUUCUCGUACCUUAUUCUUUUUCAUCCAACUAAUAGGGUUCUGUAGAGGUCUUUGUACUAUAUCGUGGAAUGCAUUUUUGGUUUCUACAAGUAAAAUAUUCUCUUACGUUAGAAAUACACGCAAAAUGAUCAUUUAUAUAACAAUUGAAGGAAAAAAAAACAGUUAGUUUUAUGAGGUGGAAUUAAUUAAAUGAUGUGGUAUUAAUUUAAGAUAUGACUGAGUUGUUCACUUUUAUCUUUUGUACCUUAAUUCUGACUAUUACAUUUAUCCUAGCUCGACGGUCCGCCCAAAAUAUGGGAGGGUUUGGGUAAAAAUAUAGGUCCGAAAUAUGAGUUUGGGCAAAAAAAGAGGCCUGUUUUUUUGGCCUGAGCUCGUCCCGACCCGAAUGAUGUGGAAUUAAUUAAAUGAUCAUUUAUAUAACAAUUGAAGGAAAAAAAAACAGUUAGUUUUAUGAGGUGGAAUUAAUUAAAUGAUGUGGUAUUAAUUUAAGAUAUGACUGAGUUGUUCACUUUUAUCUUUUGUACCUUAAUUCUGACUAUUACAUUUAUCCUAGCUCGACGGUCCGCCCAAAAUAUGGGAGGGUUUGGGUAAAAAUAUAGGUCCGAAAUAUGAGUUUGGGCAAAAAAAGAGGCCUGUUUUUUUGGCCUGAGCUCGUCCCGACCCGAAUAUAAUAAAUUAUUUUUAUUUUUUUAAUUUUAAAAUAUUUCUAUAAUACUUUUUUUUAUUUUUAAAAUAAUUUUUUUGUGUUUAUUAAAAAUGGGUCAGGCUGGGCUAGGCUCGGGCUUAGGAAUUUUUUCUUGAGCCGGGCUUGGAUAAAAUUUCAGGCUCAUUUUCAGGCCGGGCCAAGGUCUAGGACGUGGGCCAAAAUUUUUUCUGGGCUCAGCCCGACCCAGCCCAUGAGCACCUUUAAAUUUAUCCUGUCCUUUUUCUUUUUAUUUUGAAUGUAAUAAACUCAAAGUGCUUACUUCAAACUAUUAAAAGUAAAAGAAGCCAUUUGCUUUAUCUAAACCCAAGUAUUGUAAAAUCUCCUAAAAAAAAGGACACCUUCCUUAUUAUCAUAAAUCAAUUUGGCGAUUCCAUCGGCAACUUGAUUAUUCUUAUUGGGAGCAUACUUGAAAAACCACAAUCUUCCAUAUUUUAGUAUAUGUUUGGUUCUUCUAACCAAGGUUGAAUUUGCAUCCGUUGAUUGUCUAUCUUCAAUGACUUUAAUCAUUUCCAUGCUAUUCGUAUGAAUCAACACACUCUUAUAUCUUCGUUUAUUUAAAAUAGUCAGCCCAUCCAAAAUACACAUCCCUUAAGUAAUGGUUAUAACCAAGAAUCUAAUUCCCAACCUAAUUUCACAACACUCCCCGACCAAUGCAUAUUCCCCGAUUUCAUAUCUUAUUCAUCGAUUAAAUACAUACAGCUACAAUCGAGUAAAUGAAUAUGCCACCUCAUAUAUUAAACUUAUGUUGUAUCAUUUAAUUGAGUUAAUCUCAUAAAAUUAAAAACUUUUUAUCAACUAUUACCAAAAAUAUGAUCUUGUUAAUUUAUCUACCUACAGGGAUCUUUAUGUUUAUUUUUAAAAGUAUAAAAACUAAAUGCAUUCUUCAUUAUGGUACAGGGACCGAUAUAGUAUUUUUACCAAUAAUUCCCUAAUGGAAAAUUGGAAAUUUGCUUGGUAGUAUAUUAAUAAAUAAAAAAAACGUCAUUUGUGAAUCCAUGGCUUGGUUCAGAAUCGAAUCUCAACAUUGUAUCUCCAUAUUAUUAUGUUUUUAUAGACCCCAAAUCAUUGAUUUCUUUGUCCCCCCCCCCCAAAAAAAAAUUAAUAAUUGAUUUAUUUGCAUUUUAGCAUUUGCAGGGACUUCCAUUUUUCAAAUAAUUGUUUUUGGAAACUGAAAAUUGGAUCAAUUAAACUACUAAUAUAUCCUUCUUUCCUUGAUCCCAAAGCACAGAUGCUUUUCAACCAAGGUUGACUGCGCUAAAUGUUUUUAAGUUUUAAAAUAUUAUAGUUGAGUCCUUAAAAUAUUAGUAUUAUAUCAAUUACGUCCUUAUGUCAAUUUAGCUUAUCAGCAUAUGGGUUGCAAGGGCAACAUUAGAGGAGGACAAGCAUGGCCUUGGUCCCUCCAAAGUGAAAAAUUGCUCUUUUAUUUCCUUUAAAAAUAAUAAAAUUUUAAAUUAAUUUAAUGGUAAAAUUUUAUGACCCUUCUAAAGUUUAAAAUUUAAAAUUGAAUUGUUUAUAGUUUAAUUUCUCAAGGUAUUGUAAAAUUUUAUGUUUAUAUAGUGAUAAAUUUACAUUUUAGCUCUCUCAACAAUUUAUAAUUCAAAUCCAGCCCUCCCCCAGGAAAUUAUUUCUAGCUUCGUCAUUGCUUGAUCAAAUUAUAAACAUAUGUUUAACAUCAUCUUUGGUAGGACGUGUUUAAAAAAAAAAGCCCUCUUAAAUUUUAAUGUUGUUUUUUAAAAUACGUCAAAUAUGAACCGAUAUUGAUGGUUAAACUGGCGAAAAGACCUAAUUAAUAUAAUACUAGUAUUUUGAAGAUUAGGUUAAAACAUUUUGAAAUGUAGGACCAACUUAAAAUCUCAAGAUAAUUUGGGGGAUAGUUUAGUGAAUUGAACAAUUUCAACUAUUCCAAGUUUGCUUUGGUGGUUGGAGCAGGCUGUAGCAUCUUUGAUUUCAUCAACUGCAAAAUUUGUUGACUAUGUUUAAUUUGUUGGGAAAAUUAAACGCCCACUUUUUACAAGGAGAUUUAUUUAACAGCUAGUCAUAGUUUUGCUUGGUAGCGUAGAAAAUAAGAAACUACAACUUGAUUUUUAUUUUUCAAUUUUAUUCUUAAAUUAUUAACUGAUAAAAAAAAUUCAUGCCAUGUUUGGUUCGCUGUAAUAGAAUAGGGCUGUAAUCGGUAAUUCAAUUAUUUGAUUGAAUGAAAUGGAAUAAUAUUCUUACGUUAAGUUAAUUGGAAUGAAAUAAUAUUCUUGUGUUUGGUUGAAUAGAAUAAAUAUUGUAAUAGCAUAAGAAAAAAUACUGAAAUAAUCAGAGUACCCUUAGUAGAAUUUUUGUAAGAUAGAUAAUUAUGAUUUUUGUUAUUAAAUUUUAAUAGCAUUAUUAUUAAAUAUAAUUUAAUAAUAUUCUUAAUAUGAUUAUUUUUAUAUUAAAUUAUUUCAAAUAUUUUAUUUUUAUAUUUUUUGAGUCCAAGUUUUAAUUAUUAACGUUUAUAGUUUUUUUUGUUAAUAUAUCUUUUUUAAAAUUAAAUUUAGUUCUUAAUAUUUUAAAAAGAAUUAAAUUUAAUUAUUAAUCUUUUGAAAGAGAGUUAAAAUAUUUUUUUUAAUUAAAAUAUUAAUUAAAAAUUAAAAUUUUAAAUACGGCAACUCUCGUAGCAGUCAAAGUGCAUUUCAUGCUUAGAGCUGCCCAUGGGCCGGGCCGGGCCGGGUUCGGAAAAAAUUUUUGGCCCGACUCUUAAGCCCGGGCCUGGCCCGAAAUAUGGGCCUGAAAUUUCCCCAGGCCCGGCCCGGGAAAAAAAGAGCAAGCCCGAGCCCGGCCCGGCCCGAUUUUUAAUAAACACAAAAAAAUAUUUUAAAAAUAAAAAAUAAAAAAAUAUAUUUUUAAAGUAUUUUAAAAUUAAAAAUUAAAAAUUAAAAAAUAAAAAUAAAAAAUAUAUAUUUAUUAUAUUCGGGUCGGGCCGGGCCCUGGCCAAAAAAGUUGAGCCCGAGCCCGGCCCAUUUUUUAAACGGGCCUCGUUUUUUUGCCCAAUCCCAUAUUUCGGGCCUAUAUUUUUACUCGAACUCUCCCAUAUUUCGGGCGGGCCGUCGGGUCGGGCUGGGCCGCCCGGCCCAUGGAUAGGUCUAUUCAUGCUUCUUCUUCUUUAAUUUUUAUGAAAAUUUUAUAAUUUUUUUGAGUUGAGUUUUUUUUAUUUUUUUAUAAUUUUAAAUUAUUUGUUGACGUGGUAUAUAAAAUAACUAUUGUCAUGUCAGAUUGUUCACAUGGAUUGACACGCGGGUUGUCGUGUCAAUUUCAUUAAAAAAUUAGUGUUUUAGUCAAUGUAAUUUUAAAAAAAAGUAAUUUAACUCUUUUUAAAGGUUUAAUGCUCAAAUUUAGUUAAAAAGAAAAUAAGAGUUAAAUUGACAGAAAAUACAAACAUUGAGGGCUAAAUUCGUUAUUAUACUUUUUUAAAAAAACCAAAGAAUCCUUAAUCAGGGUCAAUAAAAAUGAGAGUUUAGAACUAUUAAUGGGUUGGUUCAGGUUCCAAAUUUUUUUUUAUUGUUGGCAAAUUUAUAAAAUAUUAUAUUAAUAUUUAUAUAUUUUUAUAAUAAAUUAAAUUUUAAAAAUAUUUUUAUUUAAAUUAAAUUUGGGUUAAAUUAAGUUGGCUUGAAACAUAAAAAUUUUCGUUUAAGUUCGAAUCUAGUCAUGUCAGACCUAUUAGAUCGGGUGAGCUUCCCGGCCCAUAAAUAGGUCUAAUGAGAGUUAAUUGAGCUUCAUUCUCUCCAAAUUUUUGAAAAAGAUUCUUAAAAACUUAAUGUUUAAUUAAAUUUACAUGUUCGUUUUAAGAUUUAUACCUUCCUAUAUAUAUAUCUAUUUUUCAUGAUAAAAUGCCAUGAAAGGCAAGUAAUCUUUUAAGAUUAUUACAUAAAUCCCAUACGUUAAAAUUAAUAAAUUAUGUCAUUAAUUAUAUAUUAUCCAUUUAAAAGGAAAGGUCCUUUGGAUUUUCCUUGGUUCACAGGUGAAUUAACUUCCUCUUUUCUUUUUUCUUUUUCUUUUUUGCAGUAUAUAGUAAAAUAGUCUAUUUUAAUAGAAGAUUUUAAUCACAUUUGAAAUUUUAAAAUUUAAAAAUAGAGGGAUUAAAUUUCUAAAAAUAAAAAUAUAAAGAUUAAAUUUCAAAUAUACAAAUAGUACAAGAACUUAACUAUAUUUUUAAUAUUUACUUUAUAAUUUAAUUAAAAAUAAUUAAUAAUUAACCGAACAUGAAGUACGAUAAAAUACAUAUUAGUUAGUAUUAAGGGUUUUUACUUAGAUAAUAUAAAAAAAUACGAAAAUGUGACAUGUUGUAGAUUAUUUACCAAAAUGAUAUGUUUUCUACAAAAAAAUUAGGUGUUUGUCAACCUAUCAGGCACACCCCCUAUAAAAUAUAAUAUUUUAAUAAAAUAAAUAAAAUAAUAAAUUAAAAACAAUACUUUUUUACCUUUUUUUUAAUUUGGGCUGGUUGUGGUAUGAUUUUGAUGGAAAUUAAAAAUAAGUCUAUUUAUUUUAAUUUAUUAUAAUUUAAUCUUUAUAGGUUUUCGAAUUUGACUAACUUUUUAAAUUCGAAAACUUACAAAGACCAAAUUAUGAUAAAUUAAAAUAAUAGUUAAAAUAAAAAAUUUAGAUUAAAUUAUGAUAAAUUAAAAGAAAUGGACAAACUUCUAAUUUUCAUAAAAUAAAAUAUAUUAAAUUUAAAAAUAUGCCACAAUCACCCUAAAUUAAGAAAAAUGUAAAAAAUAGGAAAAGGGGUGCGGCCUGAAAUUUUGGGUCACCUUUUUUUAGAUUAAAAUAUUAUUUUUUAAAUUUAUUUUUAUUGAAAUAUUAUUUUUUUUAUAAGUAAAAAGGUAUUAUUCUCCUAAAUAAUUUACAUAUUUUCGUACUCCUUGGAAGACAAGUUUCUGACUACAGAAUCCCCAAGUUUUGCAAUGAUGGUGUGCUGAGUUGCUGACGACCAUGUUUUUGGCCUUUCUCUUCUUUGAUCACCCUCCACCAAUCUUGCUCUCCACGCAUUUCUCUUCUCCAAGUAUUUUUCUUGGUCUUUCUUUUUUAGUCUUAUUUAUAUAUAAACACAAAGCCUGAAGCCUUCAAACACUUGAAACCAAUCCAAACUUUUAUCCAAACACACAAAACCCAAGUUUUUUCUUCAGCCAAAGCUCCAAAAAAGAUGGAACUUUUUGCUUCACAAUCAUCUUUACUAAUGAGUUCAGCUACUAGUUUUGAUUUUCUACAAAAACCCAUUUUUCUUCAUGGGCUUUCUGCUUCAUUACACUUAGUUUUGUUGCUUUUAUUGUUAAUCUUGUGGAUGGUGAGCAGGAUUAAAAAAGUUAGUAGGGAAAGUUCAAAGGAACGACAGAUUUUAUGGUAUAAGCAAACAUUAGCCUGUUGUUUUGUUGUUUCAGUUUCCAAUGUUGUCUUGUGUUUGUUAAGUUAUUUUUAUUGGUAUGGAAAUGGUUGGUCUGAGGAUAAGUUGGUGAGUCUUAUUGAUUAUGCAUUGAAAAUACUUGCUUGGGGUGCAACAUGUGUUUGCUUGCAAUGUCAAUUCUCCAAUCCUGGUGAACAAAAGAGGUUCCCUGUUGUGUUGAGAAUUUGGUGGGGUUUUUACUUUUCAAUUUCAUGUUAUUGUCUUGUUAUAGACAUUGUUCUCUUCAAAACACAUGUUUCUUUCCCAAGCCAGUAUUUAGUAUCUGAUGUCUUGUCUGUUGUUACUGGUUUGUUUCUAUGUAUUGUUGGGUUCUUUGUAAGAAAUGAGGGUGAAGAUACCCUCCUUGAGGAACCCCUUCUAAAUGGAGAUUCUAGUGUUAGUAAUGGUGUAGAGUUGAGUAAGGAAAAAGGGGGUGAUACUGUAACCCCAUAUUCAAAUGCUGGUAUUUUCAGCAUUCUUACAUUUUCUUGGAUGGGGCCUCUCAUUGCUGCUGGCAAUAAGAAACCAUUAGACCUUGAGGAUGUUCCUCAGCUAGAUAGCCAUGAUAGUGUUAUUGGGGCUUUUCCAAAAUUUAAAAACAGGCUUGAAUCAGAUGAUAGUGAGGGGAAUGGUGUUACCUCACUUAAGCUGGUGAAGGCACUGUUCUUUUCAGCUUGGAAAGAUAUUCUUUGGACAGCUUUGUUUGCAUUUACGUACACGGUGGCUUCAUAUGUUGGCCCAUUCCUCAUCGACACUUUCGUUCAGUAUCUGAAUGGGCAAAGGGAAUUUAAGGCUGAGGGCUAUCUUCUAGUUGCUGCUUUCUUUGUUGCCAAGCUAGUGGAGUGCUUGUCUCAGAGGCGCUGGUUCUUUAAGUUGCAACAAGUUGGACUUAGGCAGAGGGCUGUAUUGGUAGCAGUGAUAUAUAACAAGGGGUUAACCCUUUCGUGCCAGUCGAAGCAGAGCCAUACCAGUGGGGAGAUCAUCAAUUUCAUGACUGUUGAUGCAGAAAGGGUGGGUGACUUUAGUUGGUACAUGCAUGAUCCAUGGAUGGUAGUUUUGCAAGUUGCUUUGGCCUUGUUGAUCUUGUAUAAGACCCUAGGGCUUGCAUCCAUUGCCGCUUUCGUUGCUACUGUACUUGUUAUGUUGGCGAAUAUUCCUUUGGGGAAAAUGCUGGAGAAGUUUCAGGAUAAGUUAAUGGAAUCAAAAGAUACAAGGAUGAAGGCAACAUCUGAAAUUUUGAGGAAUAUGAGGAUUCUUAAACUGCAGGGGUGGGAAAUGAAGUUCCUCUCCAGGAUUGUCGGGCUCAGGAGCGUCGAGGAAGGAUGGUUAAAACGAUUCGUUUAUACAAAUGCCAUGACUGCUUUCGUUUUCUGGGUUGCACCAUCCUUUGUGUCUGUAGCCACUUUUGGUGCUUGUAUGUUCUUAGGAGUCCCACUUGAGUCAGGGAAGACCCUAUCUGCACUCGCAACAUUCAGGAUUCUUCAGGAGCCAAUCUACAACCUUCCUGACACAAUCACAAUGAUAGUUCAAACAAAGGUGUCACUUGAUCAAAUUGCUGCCUUCCUCCGGCUCGAUGACUUGCAGCCUGAUGCUAUAGAGAAGCUACCCAGUGGUAGUUCCAAUAUAGCGAUUGAGAUUGCUGAUGGGAACUUCUCUUGGGAUACGUCAUCCCCUACUGCAACACUAAAAGAUAUAAACUUGAAAGUUUCCCAUGGCAUGAGUGUUGCUGUUUGUGGUACGGUCGGCUCUGGCAAGUCAAGUUUACUUUCCUGUCUGUUGGGGGAGUUACCAAAGAUAUCAGGAACGCUUAAGUUGUGUGGUACAACAGCCUAUGUUGCCCAGUCACCUUGGAUACAAAGUGGCAAGAUUGUAGACAACAUAUUGUUCGGUAAGGAAAUGGACAGAGACAAGUAUGACAAAGUGCUUGAAGCUUGUACCCUCAAGAAGGAUCUUGAAAUUCUCUCUUUCGGUGAUCAGACGGUUAUAGGCGAGAAGGGAAUCAAUCUGAGUGGUGGACAAAAGCAAAGAAUACAGAUUGCUCGUGCUCUAUACCAAGAUGCCGAUAUCUAUCUGUUUGAUGAUCCUUUCAGCGCAGUGGAUGCUCAUACCGGAUCUCAUUUAUUUAAGGUAAUGUCUUCUUAAUGAUCAUAUGGCAUGCAUUUUAAGAGUCCCUAUAGUUAAUUUAGUUGAAAUAGUUAUGUAUGAGCUCUGAGUAUCUUGUUUACUCUUUUGAAUGGCAGGAGGUUUUACUAAAGAAUUUGAGAUCAAAAACAGUGAUUUAUGUCACUCAUCAAGUUGAGUUUUUACCAGCUGCUGAUUUAAUUUUGGUAAGCUAUUAUUUACAUUAUUUUCAGUGAUUUUCAUCAUAUGUCUAAGAUUCAAGAAAUAAUUUACUAACUGGAUUCAACUUGUAUUUACAUAUUUGUUAGGUGAUGAAAGAUGGGAGGAUUGUUCAAGCUGGAAAGUAUAAUGAUAUUCUCAAUUCAGGUACUGAUUUUAUGGAACUUGUGGGUGCACAUAAGAAAGCUUUGUCGGCCCUUGAUACUGUUGAAGCAAGUUCGGUUUCUGAACAAACUACCAGCGAAGGAGAAAGUGAUAUAGGUACUACUAAUGGGAAAGUGCAGAAACAAGAAAACCAAGGUAACCGGAGCUUUAAAGUAGAUGAUGUCGGACCAAAAGGACAGCUUGUUCAAGAAGAAGAACGAGAGAAAGGACAAGUCGGGUUUUCGGUCUACUGGAAGUACAUCACAACAGCAUAUGGAGGAGCUCUUGUGCCUUUAAUACUGCUUGCUCAGAUUCUCUUUCAGAUUUUUCAAAUAAGCAGCAACUAUUGGAUGGCUUGGGGAUCACCGGUGUCGGCAGACAUAAAGCCUCCUGUUGGGAGCUUUACACUAAUCAUGGUCUAUUUGGCUUUGGCCAUUGCAAGUGCCAUUUGUGUCUUUGCCAGAUCCAUGCUUCUUGGUACAGCUGGAUAUAAAACAGCCACUCUUCUCUUUUAUAAGAUGCAUCUUUGCAUUUUCCGCGCUCCUAUGUCUUUCUUCGAUUCUACACCGAAUGGAAGAAUCCUCAACAGAGUAAGCAUCUAAUGUUUUUCCUGUAUGGAUACGAAAGAUUCAAUUUAUCUUCAUGUUUGUUGGCAUUUUUCCCCUUGUUUUUGAAGUAUUGUAAACUUUUUUGCUGCCUCUUAUAGGCUUCUACAGAUCAAAGUGCAGUGGAUACGGACAUCGCGUAUCAAGUUGCCGCAUUUGCUUUCUCAGUUAUCCAGCUACUUGGAAUCAUUGCAGUCAUGUCUCAAGUUGCUUGGCAGAUCUUUAUCAUUUUUAUUCCAGUGAUUGCUACCUGCAUUUGGUAUCAGGUAACUCUUGCUGAAUUGUGGCUAAGCAAUGCAUGAAAUCAUGAACUUCUUACAAAGCAGCAACAUACCUAAAAUCUCAAAUUUUCUACUUUGUAAAACUCAUUUAAUCAUUGCCUUAUUGCUGAACAAAGGAAUGCUCAUAAACUUGUAAUCUCGCAGCAAUAUUACAUAUCUUCUGCACGAGAACUUUCGCGGCUGAUUGGAGUAUGCAAAGCUCCAGUAAUACAGAAUUUUGCUGAAACAAUUUUAGGAGCAACAACUAUAAGGAGCUUUGAUCAAGAGAAAAGGUUCCAAGACACAAACAUGGUGCUGACUGACUCGUAUUCUCGUCCAAAAUUCCAUGUUGCCGGUGCAAUGGAAUGGCUGUGCUUCCGCCUGGACUUACUGUCUUCUGUUACUUUUGUCUUCUCUUUAUUCUUUUUAAUCUCUAUACCGGAAGGAAUUAUCGAUCCUGGUAAGUAAAUGCAGAUUCAUAUUGGCAGCUUUAUUGACUACUAGAUAACAAAUGUUCUAGGAGAAUGAUUGUAUGCAUUUUUCUUUUGUUUAGGUAUUGCCGGGUUAGCUGUGACGUAUGGACUCAAUCUAAAUAUGUUGCAAGCUUGGGUGGUGUGGAAUAUUUGCAAUAUGGAGAAUAAAAUUAUAUCUGUUGAGAGAAUACUUCAGUACUGUAGUAUUCCUAGUGAGCCUGCCCUUGUGGUGGAAACGAAUCGCCCAGACCAUUGUUGGCCGUACCACGGAGAAGUUCAUAUUCGUGAUUUGCAGGUAAGGGCAGUGUUGUGGUGUUCUAUGAUUUUGUUUCUAAUGGAAUUGCCGUAUUAAAUAAACAAUGAUGGUCUCGAUGUAGGUACGAUAUGCCCCGCACAUGCCACUCGUGUUGCGAGGUCUGACCUGCACAUUUCCUGGAGGGUUGAAAACCGGUAUCGUAGGGAGAACAGGCAGUGGUAAAUCAACUCUCAUACAAACACUUUUCCGGAUCGUUGAACCUGCAGCAGGGCAGAUCAUAAUCGAUGGUGUAAACAUCUCAUCGAUCGGGUUGCAUGAUUUGCGUUCACGACUCAGCAUCAUCCCUCAAGAGCCUACCAUGUUUGAAGGGACUAUACGAAGCAACCUGGACCCUCUUGAAGAAUACACAGAUGAACAGAUUUGGGAGGUAGGUUCAUUUUAGUUAAACACUGUCUGUUAUGAUCGGCAAUUGAAGUCUAACAUCAAUCAAUAUUGUGUUUUAAAGGCAUUGGAUAAAUGCCAACUUGGGGAUGGAGUUCGAAACAAGGCCGGCCGGCUCGAUUCUUCAGGUUCGAUCCUUCUAUCUUAUAACACACAUGGGUUUGUCUUCUUUUGCAUAAAUUAUACUUAGUAUGAUUAUUGUUGUGCAGUUAGUGAGAAUGGAGAGAAUUGGAGCAUGGGGCAAAGGCAGUUGGUGUGCCUUGGGCGUGUUCUAUUGAAGAAAAGUAAGAUCUUAGUGCUCGACGAAGCUACCGCAUCGGUGGAUACAGCCACCGACAACCUAAUACAGACGACGUUAAGGGAGCACUUCUCCGAUUGUACGGUCAUAACAAUCGCUCACCGAAUAACUUCGGUUCUUGAUAGCGACAUGGUUCUGCUACUAAGUCAUGGUUAGUAGUACAGUAUGCUCUGCUCAUUAAGAUGGAUUCUUGGAAGUCAUUUCAUUUGAAUAGAUAAAAAAAAAAAAACAUUUGUUUUUGCAGGACUUAUAGAAGAAUAUGAUAGUCCAUCAAGUUUGCUGGAAAACAAGUCUUCAUCAUUUGCACAGCUUGUAGCAGAGUACACUGUGAGAUCAAAUUCUGGUUUUUGAUAGAAACUGGAUUGAAUUAGACAAUGAUGAAAAUUUACUAGUGUUAGUAAUUAGUAAUGUUUUUAAUUUGUAAUUGUGGGUGUUUUUCAUUGUUUUGUGCCAUUUUCUUUGGCUCCCAAUAAACGAUUUUCCCUUUUUUUUGUGGUCCAAUUGUUAUGUUUUAUGUUGCUAAAACUUUUCGUAUGUGUUCCAUACUUGUAUUAUACACAUGUGUAUAAACAUCAGAGCGAUAGCAGAAAAUUUUGUUAGAAUGGUCGAAAUUAAAUUGUAAUUUUUACGAUAGUAAAAAUAUAAUUUUAUUAUUUUAAUAGUCUAUAUUUUUAUAAUAUAUUUUAAAAAUUAAAUCAAAUUCUUAUAUAUAUUUUUUAGGUUGGUAUUAAAUUGGGAUGAAUUAAUCAACUCGAUUAGGAAUAUAGUAUGCUACAAUGUUAUAUUCUUGAACUAGUUUAUGAAACUUAUUUUAAUGAGCUUAAGCGGAAUAAAUGAUGUACUUGGUAGUAUGCUUUGCAUAGGUGUAAUUAUUGAGUGUUUUCAUUAACUUAUUUGUGUUGAUACUAAAUUUGUAGAAAUACCAUUAAGUUGAUUAUUCGGCGUACGAUUUGUUUUCCAUGCGCAAGUUAGAGUAUAUUAAAGAUCCUAAAUUUCGGUUUCAGUAUCCAGAGAACAUCUUGAACUCAACAAUGUUGAUGUAUUUACAUUUUUGAAUAGUUUAGCAUGUACCUAUCUAGUUAAGUCAUUGUUAGUAUAUCUUUAUAUUUAUAUGAACUUGAGUAUCAAAUUAGUAUUUAUUGAAUUUAAUUAAUAGUGUUAUUAUAUGCUCAUAAGUAAGUUAUUUGAAAUGUGUGUAUUCGUAUCUAAAUUAAUUGUGGUUGCCCUGAAAACAAAUGUGACACAUUGUAGCUCAGACCUGACGAUCGGGUCGGGUAUGAAAUGUUACACAAAGAGUACAAAAGCUUGGAUUAUAUUUUAAUAUUUACUUUAUAAUUUGACUAAAAAAUAAUUAAUAAUUAACCUAACACGAAGCACUAUAAAAUACGUACUAGUUAGUAUUAAGGGUUUUUCUCCUAGGUAAUACAAAAAAUAAUAAUUACAAAAAUGGGGCAUAUUGUAGAUUAUUUAUGAGAAUGAUAUACAAUAAAAUUAGGUGCCUCCUAGUGUCACGGGGCUAAAUCUUUCGUCUCACGAUCUGUUCGGCCUUAAGCGAUCUGUUCGCUCCAAACUCGCCUAAGUCAGCCUUUACUCCCAAAAGUGAGGAUUCCUUUAGAAUUCUUUUAAGGCACCAAUUUGUAUAGCGAAAGCGAUUGUGCCCAAAGAAGCUACAAAUGAACAAUUGAAAGCCAAAGAAAGAAUGCACACAAAGUGUUUAAGUAAAUGCUCUCAAUAUUCUCUUAUUCACAAAAAAUAAUGAAACAAUGAAUGAAGUCGGUACAAAUGAAGGGGACACUCUCUAUUUAUAGUUGAGCUCCCCCAAAACCGACGGUCAAUAUACAUUUACAUCGACGGACGAAAUUAACCAUAUCCCUUGAUUUUAGGGAUUAACAAGAUAUGUCAUAUCAAAUUAAAUCUAAUCUUUACAAGAUAUGAUUCCCUCAAUCUUCUAAAAUUAGUUACCAAAUUAACCUAAGUUAUUAUAUCUUCGUUAUCGGGCCAACCAGACUUCAAUCUAACAGGCUUUUCCAACAGCUUCUUGAAUCGGGUCAGUUCUUACAGGCCAAAUGAUUCCCAUCUAACCAAUAAACCUCAAUCGGAUGCAUUUGGUGCGAUGGUCACGGGCUUUGAACUGCGGCUCGUAACACUAGCACCACCUAUAAAAAGUAAAAUUUUAAUAAAAAUAAAUAAAAUAAUAAAUUAAAAACAAUAUUUUAAUCUAAAAAGUGGUGACCUAAAUAUUAGUCCAUUUAUUUUAAUUCAUCGUAAUUUGAUCUAUGUUUUCAAAUUUAAAAAGUUAGUUAAAUUAUUGAGUUUGUAUAUGGAUUUAAAAAACGGUUGGUCUUGUAGUAAGUAAUUUGAUGAUCAAGUUUAAUGAUAGUAAAUAAUUUUGCCUAACUUUUUAAAUUCAAAAACAUAAUAAAAUUAAAUUAUAAUAAAUUAAAAUACAUGGACUAACUUCUAAUUUUCAUAAAAUAGAAGUGUAGAAUUCGAAAUUAUACUACAACCACCCCAAAUUUAAAAAACAAAAAAACAAAGAGUUAGCACGUUGGGUCACUUUUUUAGAUUAAAAUAUUAUUUUUUAUAUUUAUAUUUAUUUAAAUUUAAUUUUACUAUAAAAUCUAUUAUUCUCAUAAAUAAUAUGCAACAUGCACAUUUUCGUGAUUAAAUUCCAUUUUUUUAUUCAUGUGUUUACCCCUUGGAAGACAAGUGUCUGACUGCGGAGUCCCACGUUUUGCAUUGCAUGGUGUGCUGAGUUGCUGACGACCAUGUUUUUUUGCCUUUUCUCUUUAUCUUUUUCUUUUAUUUGAAUUACAAAAAUAAAGUAAAACCCUCACAAUAACAUGAUUAACGCUAUUCGAAUUUUAAAUGGUUCGAAAAAUAAAUAUUUUGACAAUAACACACAAGAUUUGGCAUUUUUUGUUCUUCCACCAAGUGACAUAUAAUAUGAAUACGAGUCAACAACAUAAACAAUCGUUGAAAAGUGUUCAACUUAGUCCUCAAAGUAUGACUUGCAUUUCAAAUUCAUCUCUAAAGUUUAAAUUGUUUUAAUUAAGUCACAAAAAUAUCAAUAUCAUAUCUAUUAAAUUAUUCCAUUAAAUCAGUCAUUAACUUAAACAUUAAGGUAGCUCAAAUCUAGCAGUAGUAUAUUAAAACCCCAUAGGUCAAAUUAUAAAACCUUGAAUCUAUAUAUUAAAAAAAAAGUAAUUCUCUUAUAUUUUAUUGAUGAUUUUUAAAAAAAAAUUAGAUGUAGGCUAUUCAUGAUAUAAUUAUAUAUGCAUUUAAAAUUUUAUAAAAAUAAUUUAAAUACAUUUCAUAAUAUAUCUGAAUCAGUAUUUAUUAUUUAAAGUGAUGGCUACACCCGCAAAUGAAUCUUAAUGACAUGAUACUAAUAAUUUGAGAAUACAAUAAUUAUUUGAAAUAUAGGGAUGAAUUUAAAAUUUGAUCAAUAAAUUAGGAAUAUUAGUUGAAAUUAAGUCCUUCGUCCCUCGUUCCUGCUAAUUUAGUAUUUUGUUAGUUCUGGAAAACUGACACUAAAGUAAAAAAAGACUUUGAUAAUUAAUCCUAUAUUUUAUGUUUUCAGAGUAAAAAAUCACGUCUUUCCCCGAAGGGCAAAGGCCCCUCCAACUUCCUUUUUACGUCUUUUUCUGAAGUUCAGUACGUUUCCCUUCUGCUCUCUCCGUUUCCAAUCUUGCUGUCCACGCAUUUCUCUUCUCAUUUAUAUAUAAACACAAAGCCAGAAGCCUUCAAACACUAGAAACCAAUCAAAACUUUUAUCCAAACACACAAAACCCAAGUUUUUUCUUCGGCCAAAGCUCCAAAAAAAAUGGAACUUUUUGCUUCACAAUCAUCUUUACUAAUGAGUUCAGCUGCUAGUUUUGAUUUUCGACUAAAACCCAUUUUUCUUCAUGGGUUUUCUGCUUCAUUACACUUAGUUUUGUUGCUUUUAUUGUUAAUCUUGUGGGUGGUUAAAAAAGUUAGUAGGGAAGAUUCAAAGGAAAGACAGGUUUAAUGGUAUAAGCAAACAUUAGCUUGUUGUUUUGUUGUUUCAGUUUCUAAUGUUGUCUUGUGUUUCUUAAAUUAUUUUUAUUGGCAUACGAAUGGUUGGUCAGAGGAUAAGUGAGUGAGUCUUAUUGAUUAUGCAUUGAAAGCACUUGCUUGGGGUGCAUAUGCAACAUGUGUUUACAUGCAUUGUCAAUUCUCCAAUCCCGGUGAACAAAAGAGGUUCCCUGUUGUGUUGAGAAUUUGGUGGAGUUUUUACUUUUCAAUUUCAUGUUAUUGUCUUGUUAUAGACAUUGUUCUAUUCAAAAAACAUGUUUCUUUCCCAAGCCAGUAUUUAGUAUCUGAUGUCUUGUCUGUUGUUACUGGUUUGUUAAUUUCUAUGUACUGUUGGGGUCUUUUUAAGAAAUGAGGGUGAAGAUACCGUCCUUGAGGAACCCCUUUUAAAUGGAGAUUCUAGUGUUAGUAAUGGUGUAGAGUUGAGUAAGGAAAAAGGGGGUGAUACUGUAACCCCAUAUUCAAAUGCUAGUAUUUUCAGCAUUCUUACAUUUUCUUGGAUGGGGCCUCUCAUGGCUGCUGGCAAUAAGAAACCAUUAGACCUUGAGGAUGUUCCUCAGCUAGAUAGCCAUGAUAGUGUUAUUGAGGCUUUUCCAAAAUUUAAAAACAGGCUUGAAUCAGCUGAUAGUGAAGGGAAUGGUGUUACCUCACUUAAGCUGGUGAAGGCACUGUUCUUUUCAGCUUGGAAAGAUAUUCUUUGGACAGCUUUGUUUGCAUUUACGUACACGGUGGCUUCAUAUGUCAGUCCAUACCUCAUCGAUACUUUUGUUCAGUAUCUGAAUGGGCAAAGGGAAUUUCCAGUGGUAGUUCCGAUACAGCGAUUGAGAUUGCUGAUGGUAACUUCUCUUGGGAUAUGUCAUCCUCUACUGCAACACUAAAAGAUAAAAACUUGAAAGUUUCCCAUGGCAUGAGUGUUGCUGUUUGUGGUACGGUCGGCUCUGGCAAGUCAAGUUUACUUUCCUGUCUUUUGUGAGAGUUCCCAAAGAUAUCAGGAGCCAAGGCCCGCCGAAGGGUGGCUCGGAGAGAGGGGAGAGGGUUUCAGAAUUUUUUUUUAGAAAUGGGGAUGGAAUGAUUUUUUUGGGAAACUUUUGACUUAAAUAGGGCAUAGAAAAGGCGCCGUUUUCGCCUGUUUCCUUUAACAUAAAACGGCGUCUUUUGAUGCCAAAACCGAAUCGACCCGACCCGACCCAGCAGGAUCCGCGUGUUUUUGGCUGGGGGUCUAAUUCCGCCAUAAGUCCUUCCUAUUGUUCAAUUUUUUUCAAUUCAGUCCUAAUUACUCUUUUUUUUUUUUUAGAUUAUACCUUUUAUUUUUAAUUUAGUCUCCCUAUUUGCCUAAAAACGUAGCGUUUGAUAGGAUAGGGAAUAUUUUCCAAUUUGGUCCCUUUUUUUUAUGCGUGUUACAGUUUAGUUCCUUAUUUUAUUUUUAUCCCGAUUUCUCCCCUAAUAUUUUACUUAAGUUUCAAUAUAGUCCUCCUUAUAUUUAUGUACUUAUUUUAUUAUAAUUUAGACUCUUAGUUUCAUUUCAAUGUCGAUUUAAUCCUUAAUUAUUUAAUUUCGACCAUGAUUAUUUGUUUUUAUGUAUUAUUAUUUUUUAUUUAUUUACUUACUAUUUCUUUUUUAUUUAAAAUUGGUUUGUUUUUGUAUUUAUUGUGCAUUUUUUAUUUUUAUUUUUAUCUCCUUUUCUUUUGCCUUUAUUGUCAUUAUUUAUUUAUUAUUUUUUAUAUAUUUUCAAAAAUUAGAUUAUUUACAUUUUUACUUGCACAUUUAUUGUUCGUGUUAUUGUUAUUAUUAUUAUACGUUCAUAUUUUAUUAUGUGUAUUGUUAUCAUGCCAUUAUUACUAUAAAUUGAUAUCGCACUGUCAUUUACUAACACGACAUUGUUAUUUUUCAUAUAUAAUUUUUUAUAUAUACUUCCAUUUAAUUUUAUUAUGGCUACAAUCAUGUCACGAACCUUGCUCAAAUACAUUUACUCGUUUCUAUACUAUGCCCGAAUAAGCUAAAUACACAUUACUUUUAAUAUUGCACUCGUCUUUGCACGAGGCACAAAAAAGGAAAUUUUUUAAACCAAAGUAAUGUUCGUUAUCUUGGAAUUAGAAAAGUCGUGUUCUUAACUUACGGAAUAUGGCUUCUUUCUAAAACCAAGAUAGUCGAAUAUUUACUUUAAAAUAAAUAAAAACAGGAUUUAAGUGAUGAUCAAAAUGGCGUUCAUUCUUGUUCUCGAGGAUUUAAGGCAUUGUGUCCUAACUUACAGGAUGUGAUCCUUUCUUCUCGAUUAACUUGAAAUAAGCCUCCUUUUUGUAAAAAUUAAUUUAGUUAAAUAAUGUAUCAAAAAGGGAUCGUGUUUUAAAUUCUCUUCAAAUUUCUAAUUUUUGACAUUAAGACAUCAAGUAAUCAAUUAGGUAACAAUUUUGGACGUAACGAGAGGUGUGACAGCCCGAUUUCGACCCUAAUCAGACAUAGUAGUUUCGGGACCACAAAUCUAAGUCAAAAAAAUAUUUUAAUAUUACUUUGGGAGUUUACUAUGUGUGAAUUUGAUUGUGUGAGAUUUUCGUGUUUCAAUUUUGUUGUUUGAGUAACUGAUUAAAUAAAAAGGACUUAAUCGCGUAAAAAUAAAAAUUUAGGGGUUAAAGCUAAAAAUAUCUAUUUGUUGUUGUCUUUUUAUUUGGAAGGUUUAAACAUGGAAUUAGACCACUAAAUAGUUAGUGGAUGGCUAAGGACAAAACUAACCUUAUUAUAUAUAUUUAUAAAAAUUACAAAAAAUAUAUAUGUAAAAAAUAUAUAAAGAAAUUUAAAAAUUAAAAAUUUUCUAGAAUGAUAAUUUUGGGAUCUAAAUAAGUUAAUUAAUUAUUCAAAUUUAUAAUACUAAAGUAUUUUAUUAUUAUUUUGCUUCGAAUUUUUUUUCAAAUAUUUAUUGUUUCAAUUUUAUGUGCUCUAACAUGGAAUUAGUUAUAUUGUAAUAAGAUUUUAAUUUGACAUGUUUAAUUUUUUUAAUUUAAUUUGAAUAAUUUCACUCGAUUUGACUCGAUUCGAUUCGAAAAUUUUUUAAAUUGAGUUAGGAUGCUAAAAUAGAACUCGUCAACUCAAUUAAUUUAAAAAAAAUUCACUCAAUUCGAUUGAAUACUCACCCUUACUUUGAAACAAAAAAGUGAGACAUGAUGCAGCAACAUUACACCGGGCCAUGUCUGAAAUAGUGAAAAACUCUCAUGUAAUGAAAAUGGCCAAGUAACUAAAGCAAGGAUCCAUGAGCUGAAAUUCUGGAGAUCAAUAGUGAAAGAAACCUUAAGGCUACACCCACCUGUUCCUUUGAACAUCAGACAAAACAUUGAGAACUGUGCGUAGGAGUGAGUAAAAUCCGAUUCGAUUCAAAAAAUUUAAUGAAAAAUUCAAAUUUUGAAUUAAAUAGUUCGAGUUAUUUGAGUUAAUCAAGUUAUUCGGAUUAACUCGAAUAAAAAAUUAAGUUUUUUGGUUUAACUCGAAUAUGAAUUACACAAUUCGAGUUAUCCGAAAAUCCGAAUAAGAAAAAACAAAAUUAUGUUGUUUUGAUAAAUGUUUAUUUUUUAAAAGUUAAAAUUCAAAAUAAUUAAAUUAAAAGGCAAAACUACUUUGUUUUGAUAAAUGUUUACCCAUUAAGUUAAAAGGUAAAAUCAUUAUAUUGUUCAUGUAGUUAAAUAAUCUUGUAAAUUUAUCUACUAGUUAAAUAACCGGUCCAUCUAAACGCAACAUUAAGUAUAAAUAAUAGGAUUCGUUAAUUCGACUCGAUUUGACUCGAUUCAAUUCGAUUCGAAAAAAUUUCAAAUUGAAUUCGGUUGCUAAAAUAGAAUUUGUCAACUCGACUAAUUCAAAAAAAUUUUACUCGGUUUGACUCGACUCGAUCGAAUACUCACCCUUAACUGUGUAAUCAAUGGCUAUGGCAUCCCUUCAAAGUCCAAUGUUCUCAUUUAAUGCACGGGCCAUAUAAAGGAUCCUUGUUGUUGGGGAAAAGGUGAAGUGUUUUGGGUGAGAGCACCUCUAUUGGUGGUUUUAAUGGAGGAAAGCUUGAGUACAUGUAUAUGUAUAUGCCAUUUGGUGGUGGGGAAGCCAAAAAAAUUGUUUGAAUGAGUAAAAAAAUUGUUAGAAGGAAGAAUGAUUUGGUCUUAUUCUCGUACCUUAUUCUUUUUCAUCCAACUAAUAGGGUUCUGUAGAGGUCUUUGUAUUAUAGCAUGGAAUGCAUUUUUAGUUUCUACAAGUAAAAUAUUCUCUUACGCUAGAAAUACAUGCAAAAUGAUCAUUUAUAUAACAAUUGAAGGGAAAAAAACAGUUAGUUUUAUGAGGUGGAAUUAAUUAAUGAUGUGGUAUUAAUUUAAGAUAUGACGUGAAAUGUUCACUUUUGUCUUUUGUACCUUAAUUCAUUUUGAAUGUAACAAACUCAAAGUGCUUACUUCAAACUAUUAAAAGUAAAAGAAGCCAUUUGCUUUAUCUAAACUUAAGUAUUGUAAAAUCUCCUUAGGAAUCUCCUAAAAAAAUUGGACACCUUCCUUAUUACCAGAAAUCAAUUUGGCGAUCCCAUCGGCAACUUGAUUAUUCUUCCCGGGAACAUACCUAAAAAACCACAAUCUUCCAUUUUUCAAUAUAUGUUUGGUUCUUCUAACCAAGACUAAAUUUGCAUCCGUUGAUUGCCUAUCUUCAAUGACUUUAAUCAUUUUCAUGUUAUCCGUAUGAAUCAACACUCUCUCAAAUCUUCAUUUGUUUAAAAUAGUUAACCAAUCUAGAAUCACAUCCCUUAAGUAAUGGUUAUAACCAAGAAUCUAAUCCCCAACCUAAUUUCACAACACUCUCCCGACCAAUUCAUAUUCCCCAAUUUCAUAUCUUAUUCAUCGAUUAAAUACAUCCAGCUACAAUUGAGUAAAUGAAUAUGCCACCUCAUAUAUUAAACUUAUGUUGUAUCAUUUAAUUGAGUUAAUCUCAUAAAGUUAACAACUUUUUAUCAACUAUUACCAAAAAUAUGAUCUUGUUAAUUUAUCUACCUACAAGGAUCUUUAUGUUUAUUUUUAAAAGUAUAAAAACUAAAUGCAUUCUUCAUUAUGGUACAGGGACCGAUAUAGUAUUUUUACCAAUAAUUCCCUAAUGGAAAAUUGGAAAUUUGCUUGGUAGUAUAUUAAUAAAAUCAAAAAAAAAAAAAGUCAUUUGUGAAUCCAAGGCUUGGUUCAGAAUCGAAUCUCAACAUUGUAUCUCCAUAUUUUUAUUUUUAUUUCUUUGUCCCCCGAUUUAUUUGCAUUUUAGCAUUUGCAGGGACUUCCAUUUUUCAAAUAAUUGUUGGAAACUGAAAAUUGGAUCAAUUAAACUACUAAUAUAUCCUUCUUUCCUUGAUAGUUGAUCCCAAAGCAAAGAUGCUUUUCAACCAAGGUUGACUGCGCUAAAUGUUUUUAAGUUUUAAAAUAUUAUAGUUGAGUCCUUAAAAUAUUAGUAUUACAUCAAUUACGUCCUUAUGCCAAUUUAGCUUAUCAGCAUGGGUUGCAAGGGCAACAUUAGAGGAGGACAAGCAGGGCCAUGGUCCCUCCAAAGUGAAAAAUUGCUCUUUUAUUUCCUUUAAAAACAAUAAAAUUUUAAAUUAAUUUAAUUGUAAAAUUUUAUGACCCUUCUAAAAUUUAAAAUUGAAUUGUUUAUAGUUUAAUUUCUCAAGAUAUUGUAAAAUUUUAUGUUUAUAUAGUGAUAAAUUUACAUUUUAGCUCUCUCAACAAUAUAUAAUCCAAAUUCGGCCCUCCCCCUGGAAAUUAUUUCUAGCUUCGUCAUUGCUUGGUCAAAUUAUAAACAUAUGUUUAACAUCAUCUUUGGUAUGACGUGUAACAAAAAAAAAAGCCCUCUUAAAUUUUAAUGUUAUUUUUUAAAAUACGUCAAAUAUGAACCGAUAUUGAUGGUUAAACCGGCGAAAAGACCUAAUUAAUAUAAUACUAGCAUUUUGAAGAUUAGGUUAAAACAUUUUGAAAUGUAGGACCAAUUUAAAAUCUCAAGAUAAAUUGGGGGAUAGUUUAGUGAAUUGAACAAUUUCGACUAUUCCAAGUUUGCUUUGGUGGUUGGAGCAGGCAGUCCGCAGUAGCAUCUUUGGUUUCAUCAACUGCAAAAUUUGUUGACUAUAUUUAAUUUGUUUGGAAAAUUAAACGCCCACUUUUUACAAGGAGAUUUAUUUAACAGCUAGUCAUAUAUUUGCUUGGUAGCGUAGAAAAUAGGAAACUACAACUUCAUUUUUAUUUUUCAAUUUUAUUCUAAAAUUAUUGACACGUUUGAUUAACUGUAAAAGAAUAGGAUUGUAAUCGGUAAUUCAAUUAUUUGGUUGAAUGAAAUGGAAUAAUAUUCUUGCGUUAGGUUAAUUGGAAUGAAAUAGUAUUCUUGUGUUUGGUUGAAUGGAAUAAAUAUUGUAAUAGCAUAAGAAAAAAUACUGAAAUAAUCAGAGUACCCUUAGCAGAAUUUUUGUAAGGUAGAUAAUUAUGGUUUUUGUUAUUAAAUUUUAAUAGCAUUAUUAUUAAAUAUAAUUUAAUAAUAUUCUUAAUGUAAUACCCAAUUUUAGCCCGGGCUCGCAUAUGGAAACAUAAUUUUUGAGGAUAUGCAAUCUUAGAUAUGAUAUGCAAUCUUAGAUAUGAUAUAUAAUCUUAGAUAUGAUAUGCAAUCUUAGAAUAUAUGAUUUUGUAAUCUUAGAGAUUUAAUUUGUAGAUACCCUUUAAUCUCAGCCGUUGAUGUAAUUGAUCUGUACCGUUGGAUUUGAGGAGGCUCAACUAUAAAUAGAGGUCUCUCCCUUCAUUGUUGAAAGGGAGGAGGAGGAAGAGGAAUAAAAAAAAGAACGAUUGGCAGUUUUUUAAAGGUGGCUUACUAUUUUUUUUCUUCCGAUUAUUUUUUUUACUUAUUUACGAUUUUAAAAAGGGGGAGAAGGUGAUACCACUGCGAAUUUUAUUUAUUUAUUUUAUUUAGCCCCUCCGCCUUUUAAUGUUUUUGUAAUUAAGUUUUUUUUAUUUUUAUUUUUCUUAAUUUACCCUUUUAUUUAUUUUUAUUUCAAUUGGGUCUAAGUUGAACGGCGUUGUUUUAAAGGAGAAGGGAAAAUUUCCCUUCCAGCCCCUCUAUAUAAUUCGUGCGUUCAAAUUAAUCCUUUUACUUUUAUUUAUUUACAGAUUUACCCCUAUUUUUUUACUUCCGACCCAAUUUAGUCCUUUCUCAUAUUUUUCUUAAAAUCAGUAUUUCUAAUUUUUUUUAUGAAAUUAUUAUUAUAUGUAUAUAUAUAAAUAUGUUUCUUUUGCAUGUAUUUACACCUUAAAAAAAACUAAUAUUUUUCGUAUAUUUUAGACACAUAUUUUAUUAAUUUUGAUAUUAUCUUAAUUAUUUUAAACUUAUAUAUUUUCAUGGAUGUAUGUAUAUAUAUAUUUUUUAUUUCAGUUAUUUGUCUAUUAAUUUAUGUUUACAUAUAUUUUUUAUUAUCUUGUCCAUUUAUUUGAUAUUUUGCAGGCCAUUAUUUUACUUAUUUGUUCAUAUAUUUGCAUUAUUUCUAUGCUAUCGUAGUAUUUAUUAUUGCAUUAUAUAUUUAAUGUAGCAUAACAUUACAUUUUUUACUCGAUUUUUAAAAUCAAACUUUUUCAAAAUGGAUAUUCUUUUAAUUAAAAUAAAAACUCAUUAUUGGGAAUUCAACACGUUGUGUCCUAACGUAUUGGAUGUGACGCAUUGAUUUCUCGAAAUGAAGAUUUUUUUUAAAAAUCAUGAAGGAAAUAUUCCGAGUUUGAGAUUCUAAAGGAAUUGUGCCCUAACGUAUUGGGUGUGAUUUCUUAAAUCUUGGAUAAGUGGAUGUUCUUUUAAAGUAAAUGAAAUAUUCCGAGUUUGAGAUUCUAAAGGGAUCGUGCCCUAACGUAUUGGGUGUGAUUUCUUAAAUCUUGGAUGAGUGGAUGUUCUUUUAAAGUUUUAUUGUAUAAGUAUUCUGAUCUAAUUCAUUUUGGGGGAAAUUAGAAUGUUGUGCCCUAACGUAUUGGGUGUGGCAUUUUUGCUUCUCUAAAUUGAAAAGGGUCUUAAUAUGCAACGUUUUAAGUUUUUAAAGAUUAUAUUUUUAAAAUUUUCGACCUUAAGACAUUAAUUAAUUAACUAGGUACCAAUUUUUGGGCGUAAUGAGGGUGCUAAUCCUUCCUCAUGCGUAACCGACUCCCGGACCCGUUAUUCUAAAAUUCGUAUACCAAAGUCGUUUUUAGGUGACCCAAUCACACCUUAAUAAAAGAUUGGUGGCGACUCCCAACUUUCAUUUUCUUUUUUUUUAAGUCGACAACCUAAAAUUUUUUGUUUUAAAAAAAAAAUGGUUUCGACAGCUUGGCGACUCCGCUGGGGAAUUUUUUAAGAGAGUCGAGCCACAAAGUUGAUUAAUUUUUAUCUUAUGGUCGAGAAAAUAUUUUUAAAAAAACUCAUGACAUCCUUUUGCAUUCAUUAUCUUCUUGUUUAAAUAUUGUUUGCAUUAUACAUUUAAUGAGUUGAACAAUGUUACCCUUUUAAAUGGGAGUGAGAAACUAUACCUUCGUGAGGUUUUACCUCCGUGUAGGGUAGUGGAUUGCUUUCGGGAUACAUCCGUACCUAUGUCUUCGUGAGAUUUUUCAUCUCCGUGCAGCCAUAGGGAAAUGUAUUCCCCUGAAUUGAACUCGAUCCAUAUGAGCCUAUAAUGGGUGAGGAUUGGGGAAUCUGCUGGUUCGGGUACCUUUACUCUAGAAGCCAAACUUCAUAUAAUGAACCUUAGGAAUCCACCCUAGGUAGAAUUAUACUAUACCCUAGUAGAUAUCCAAUUAGGGAUCUUUACUAUUUCUUGAUUAUAUCUUGUGUUUCUAUGUUAUACUAACUUUUGGUGUUUUAUUUGCAUGACAUGGCAUUUCAUUUCACGCAUUGCAUUAAUAAAUAUAUCAAGGGAUUCUAAUUAAUCUAAAUUACUCAUCAGUUAAUUUGGAAACCAAUCAAGCUAUCAAACACUGCUACGAAACUCGAUCCAAAACUAGAGACAUGGACCAAAGGCUAGAACAAUUCCAGAAAGAAAUGCAAGAGCAAAUGAAUGAGCAAUUAGAAAAGAUUCAACAAAAGAUGAUGGAAAAGAUAAUGGGAUCUCAAGGGAGUAUGAUGGCUAAGUUGACUCAGUUAUUGGCUGGAGGAGUUGACAAAGGAAAGGGAUUGGUGCUCAACAAUGAAGAAUGUGACAAUGAGGGACUUGUCUAUCCUCCGGACUUUACACCCCAACAAGUUGAGAUAUACCCGCGUAGGUCCUUUGUUACCAUUAAUCCUCCGGGUGAUGCUGCAACGCAAAUGAAUUUCCAGAUGGGAUCAGGCUCUAACCCCGGUGCCAAUUUUGUUAAUCCUGCUAUUCCUGAUUUUGAUGAGACGGUUGGAAAGGAAAAAAUGAAUGAGGAACUAUCAAAACAGCUUGAGGAAAGGUAUAAAUGGUUGGAGGAAAAACUUAAAGUGAUAGAAGGUACUGAGAGCUACCACGGAAUUGAUGCUAGAGAAUUGAGCUUGGUUCCAGGUUUGGUACUUCCUCACAAGUUCAAAACACUAGAGUUCGAGAAGUAUAAUGGAACCAGUGGCCCCGAAGCACAUAUUACUAUGUUCUACAGGAGGAUGACUAGAUAUGUUAAUAAUGACCAGUUGUUGAUACAUUACUUCCAGGAUAGCCUCACGGGGGCAGUAUCCAGGUGGUACAAUCGAUUGAACCGUACCCAAAUUAAUUCAUGGAGAGAUCUAGCACAGGCAUUCUUGAAACAGUACAGCCAUGUGACUGACAUGGUACCUGAUAGAAUUACUCUGCAGAACAUGGAGAAGAAGCCUGGUGAAAGUUUCAGGCAGUACGCACAGAGAUGGAGGGAGGUUGCUGUCCAAGUUCAGCCAUCUCUUCUAGAAAGAGAGAUGACGAUGCUUUUCAUUAAUACAUUGAAAGCCCCAUUCAUCACACAUAUGUUAGGGAGUGCAACAAAAAGCUUUUCUAACAUAAUCAUGAAUGGUGAAAUGAUUGAAAGCGCCAUAAGGAGCGGAAAGAUUGAUACUGGAGGAAAUAACAGAAGGCAAGCCUCAAAAGAAAAGGGAAAUGAGGUAAACAGCGUGAAUACGUACGACAAAUCGAUUGCUAAUCAACAGGGUUCAUCAAGACAAGAAUUAGGUGUGAAGCCAGGUACUGAAAAGCUCCAGUUCACGCCAAUUCCAAUGUCGUACAAGGAGUUGUAUCAAAGCUUAUUCAAUGCGCAUGUUGUUGCUCCUUUACAUGUGAAGCCUCCACAGCCCCCGUAUCCCAAAUGGUAUGAUGCAAGUGCACAAUGUGAUUAUCAUGCAGGAAUUACGGGGCAUUCCAUAGAAAAUUGCAUUACCUUCAAAAAGCUAGUUGAAAAUUUUAUCAACAUGGGUAUUGUCAAGAUAGAUGGUUCAUCUAGUACCCAGUCAUGAUUGAAUAUGAAGGGGUGUCGAGAAGUGUUCACGAUGAAACAACUGAAGAAGAGACCUUGUCAGAUUUUUGCCCUUAUAGACUUAGGAGUGUUUUAAAUAAUUUGACUGCAGAAGAAGCCCCUGUAGUAUUUAGAGAUUACUCAGAGUAAUGUUCAAAACACACUUGUUGCCUUCAGCCUAGAGGCAAUAAGAAUUCCUUUAUGAAAUAGGCUCAUGUCUGAACGUCGUUAAUUUAAUAAAAUACAUCUUUGCAUUUAUUUUUUUAAGCCAAUAUUCUUUUCGAAUAAUUAUACUUUCAUUCUUUCGGAUCUUCUUCCAUAUUAUCAUUUUAUUCAUCCGUAAUUGUACAAAUGAUUAUUCAUACAUUCUUUUGUAUAUUCUUUGGUAUUUACUGUGGGUCCCCAGAUAUCAAUGACAUGAGUGAUGCUGUUACGGACGGAGAAGUUCCUUUUGAGUGGGAUUUGUGUUUAGAGGGAUCUCAUUACUUUAAAGAUGACACAGAUUGUAUCAUAUUUUCAGACUUGCUGAGGAUGGUAGAACAGGAAUGAAAUCUUACUUCAUGAGGGGAGAAUGGAGAUUGUGACUUUAAGAUUGCGUGCUUAACCGAAGAAAUGAAGUAUAACCUUGUUGAGUUACUUCAAAGAGUUCAAAGAUGUCUUCAUAUGGUCAUAUCAGGAUAUGCUUGAGUAAACACCGACAUUGUAAUUGGAACAACAAUACGAUAUCAAGAAUUUACAGUAUGUUCAAGAUUAACAUCAUGAACGAUGCAUUUAGAAUUCUUUGUCGAGGCAAUGCCUUCUCCUUUGGCUCAUCAUGGUUUAGCAUGUCGAAGUCAAGUUGCCAUUUCUCCGUUGUUGGAUUUCAUCCUAAUUGAAGAGGAAGAUCCAAAGUUUUUGUCAUAAUUAAAUUUUGCCCCAAAAGGCUCUAUGAAAGAGAUUUGAUCACAAAGAAGAUCUUACAUUGGUGCUGAUCGAAAGGGAUAACGAGAACUUAUCCAAUCCUAUGAGUUCAGAUUCAAAAAAAAAACAAAAAACAAAAACAAAAACAAAAAAUGAAAGUGAAAGUGAAAGAAAAAAGAAAAGAAAAUGGAGAUGCCAAAGUGAAAACCCGCAAAAGGCACUUUGAGACCAAAGGGGAUUUGAGUUGAAAACCCGAAAAGGGCGGCUCAAAUAUUGAUCAGAAUGGGGCACGAGGUGAUUAGAGCAACUCAAAGUUUAACCAGAUUGGGGCAUGUGGUGAUCUUGUUAUACCUGAAUUAUCAGGAAAAGGUAGGCAACAUCUUGGGGCAUUGGCAGAGUACUGUGGAUCACCUAAACACAUGUCAAACUCAGAAGGAUCUUUAAAAAGUUUGUACAGAGAAGUUCAAGAUGCGAUAUCUGGGGCACCCAAUAUUCAUACUAAAUUUUUUAUUCUUGGAAUACUUCAUUCUUUUCCAAGAUACACAUUCCCAAUCAAUUUCUUUGCUAUCAUUGUUUACUAUUUUUGAUAAUCUAUUCCUUUCGAGCUAUGCUCAGAACCAAUUGUAUUCUCAUCCAUUGUUAUACCCUUUUUGCAAGCAUGUUGCAUUAGAAUAAUGAUUAAUGGACUAAUGAAACUUUCACGAAGGAGGUUUUGCAUAUUACUCUAGGAGUUUCUAAAUAAUACAAUUGCCUGAAACAGGAUUAUUAUUUAGAACGCACCGGGUUUAAAGGUUGGAAAUCUGAAAAGGAACAGUCUAAACUAGGACUUUCUCUUUGGAUUUUGCUGUCAAAAACAUUGGAUGUCGUGUUGAUGACAAAGCCUAAAUCAAACAAGCAAGUAAUGAUCACCAAGAGGUUACCUCGGGGAAGAGAGCCUUUAUUUGCGCAUGAGCCUUUGGUACGAUACCCUGGGAAUGGUGUAAAGGACCAUAAAGAUUUAGAUCAUGUAUCAUUGAAUUGUGAUAGGAAAGGAUUGAGGAAAGCCACGUAUUUUAGUGGGAGAACGAUGGUAUGAAUUUUUGCGCCCUAAUGGAUUAAACUUGGAGGGCAACCUGACUAAAGGUUUCUUCAGAAAAGCCAGUCAAGUAAAAAGGCGUUGUAGCACGUUAGUCACAAAGCCUUAAUAAACUUCGAGUAAUGACAACCUAAGCGGGAUCAUUCUCGGAAAAAUAAAAUUUUGCAUUCAUGCAUUUGAUGCAUUUUGAUCAUGCCAUUCUAAUCAUUAGGCAUAAUUAAGUUCAUUAUACAGGUCAUGCUCCCCAGAGAACAGAUCAGUGAAAGAGCAGAUCUUGUCUUCCUACAUCGACAGCGAAGCAGAUCGAAAACAAAACCUUGCCUUCCUCGUUUGUAGUCGAGCAGAUCGAAGAUGACGGAUUUUACCUCCCUGUGGUUAUAGUGGAGUACAUUGAAGCCAGUAAUUCUACUUCCCUGGGUAGCAGUGGAAUAGAUUGAAGAUUUCAGAUCUUAUCUCCCUAAGCAGUAGUGGAGUAGAUCGAAGAUGGCGGAUUUUACCUCUCUGUGGUUACAGUGGAGUACAUUGAAGCCAGUAAUUCUACUUCCCUGGGCAGCAGUGGAAUAGAUUAAAGAUAGCAGAUCUUACCUUCCUGCAUUGACAGCGAAGCAGAUCGAAGAUGGCGGAUUUUACCUCCCUGUGGUUAUAGUGGAGUACAUUGAAGCCAAUAAUUCUACUUCCCUGGGCAGCAGUGGAAUAGAUUGAAGAUUUCAGAUCUUAUCUCCCUAAGCAGUAGUGGAGCAGAUCGAAGAUGGCAGAUUUUACCUCCUUGUGGUUAUAGUGGAGUACAUUAAAGCCAGUAAUUCUACUUCCCUGGGCAACAGUGGAAUAGAUUGAAGAUUUCAGAUCUUAUCUCCCUAAGCAGUAGUGGAGCAGAUCGAAGAUGACGGAUUUUACCUCCAUGUGGUUAUAGUGGAGUACAUUGAAGCCAGUAAUUCUACUUCCCUGGGUAGCAGUGGAAUAGAUUGAAGAUUUCAGAUAUUAUCUCCCUAAGCAGUAGUGGAGCAGAUUGAAGAUUGCGGAUUUUACCUCCCUGUGGUUACAGUGGAGUACAUUGAAGCUAGUAAUUCUACUUCCCUAGGCAAUAGUGGAAUAGAUUGAAGAUUUCAGAUCUUAUCUCCCUAAGCAGUAGUGGAGUAGAUCGAAUAUGGUGGAUUUUACCUCCCUGUGGUUACAGUGGAGUAUAUUGAAGUCAGUAAUUCUAUCUCCCUGGUCAGCAGUGGAAUAGGUUGAAGAUUGUAAGUCUUAUCUCCCUACAGUUGCAGUGGAAUAGAUUGAAGCACUAGCUCCUAUACUUCUGAAGAUGCAGUAGGAAGGAAUGAGGCUACUUGAAGAAGAAGAGUUUCAUGUUCCAGCAAGACCGGACAAAAUUGGGCAUUUUUAAAGUCUUUGCUCCGUUCCUGUUACACGACAACGAGCAAAUAGGGGCAGCUGUAAUACCCAAUUUUAGCCCGGGCUCGCAUAUGGAAACAUAAUUUUUGAGGAUAUGCAAUCCUAGAUAUGAUAUGCAAUCCUAGAUAUGAUAUGCAAUCUUAGAUAUGAUAUAUAAUCUUAGAUAUGAUAUGUAAUCUUAGAAUAUAUGAUUUUGUAAUCUUAGAGAUUUAAUUUGUAGAUACCCUUUAAUCUCAGCCGUUGAUGUAAUUGAUCUGUACCGUUGGAUUUGAGGAGGCUCAACUAUAAAUAGAGGCCUCUCCCUUCAUUGUUGAAAGGGAGUAGGAGGAAGAGGAAUAAAAAAGAGAACGAUUGGCAGUUUUUUAAAGGUGGCUUACUAUUUUUUUUCUUCCGAUUAUUUUUUUUACUUAUUUACGAUUUUAAAAAGGGGGAGAAGGUGAUACCACUGCGAAUUUUAUUUAUUUAUUUUAUUUAGCCCCUUCGCCUUUUAAUGUUUUUGUAAUUAAGUUUUUUUAUUUUUAUUUUUCUUAAUUUACCCUUUUAUUUAUUUUUAUUUCAAUUGGGUCUAAGUUGAACGGCGUUGUUUUAGAAGAGAAGGGAAAAUUUCCCUUCCAGCCCCUCUAUGUAAUUCGCGCGUUCAAAUUAAUCCUUUUACUUUUAUUUAUUUGCGGAUUUACCCCUAUUUUUUUACUUCUGACCCAAUUUAGUCCUUUCUCAUAUUUUUCUUAAAAUCAGUAUUUCUAAUUUUUUUUAUGAAAUUAUUAUUAUAUGUAUAUAUAUAAAUAUGUUUCUUUUGCAUGUAUUUACACCUUAAAAAAAACUAAUAUUUUUCGUAUAUUUUAGACACAUGUUUUAUUAAUUUUGAUAUUAUGUUAAUUAUUUUAAACUUAUAUAUUUUCAUGGAUGUAUGUAUAUAUAUUUUUAUUUAUUUCAGUUAUUUGUCUAUUAAUUUAUGUUUACAUAUAUUUUUUUAUUAUCUUGUCCAUUUAUUUGAUAUUUUGCAGGCCAUUAUUUUACUUAUUUGUUCAUAUAUUUGCAUUAUUUCUAUGCUAUCGUAGUAUUUAUUAUUGCAUUAUAUAUUUAAUGUAGCAUAACAUUACAUUUUUUACUCGAUUUUUAAAAUCAAACUUUUUCAAAAUGGAUAUUCUUUUAAUUAAAAUAAAAACUCAUUAUUGGGAAUUCAACACGUUGUGUCCUAACGUAUUGGAUGUGACGCAUUGAUUUCUCGAAAUGAAGAUUUUUGUUAAAAAUCAUGAAGGAAAUAUUCCGAAUUUGAGAUUCUAAAGGAAUUGUGCCCUGACGUAUUGGGUGUGAUUUCUUAAAUCUUGGAUAAGUGGAUGUUCUUUUAAAGUAAAGGAAAUAUUCCGAGUUUGGGAUUCUAAAGGGAUCGUGCCCUAACGUAUUGGGUGUGAUUUCUUAAAUCUUGGAUGAGUGGAUGUUCUUUUAAAGUUUUAUUGUAUAAGUAUUCUGAUCUAAUUCAUUUUGGGGGAAAUUAGAAUGUUGUGCCCUAACGUAUUGGGUGUGGCAUUUUUGCUUCUCUAAAUUGAAAAGGGUCUUAAUAUGCAACGUUUUAAGUUUUUAAAGAUUAUAUUUUUUAAAUUUUCGACCUUAAGACAUUAAUUAAUUAACUAGGUACCAAUUUUUGGGCGUAAUGAGGGUGCUAAUCCUUCCUCAUGUGUAACCGACUCCUGGACCCGUUAUUCUAAAAUUCGUAGACUAAAGUCGUUUUUAGGUGACCCAAUCACACCUUAAUAAAAGAUUGGUGGCGACUCCCAACUUUCAUUUUCUUUUUUUUAAGUCGACAACCUAAAAUUUUUUGUUUUCAAAAAAAAAUGGUUUCGACACUUAAUAUGAUUAUUUUUAUAUUAAAUUAUUUUAAAUAUUUUAUUUUUAUAUUUUUUGAGUCCAAGUUUUAAUUAUUAACGUUUAUAUUUUUUUGUUAAUAUAACUUUUUUUAAUUAAAUUUAGCUCUUAAGUUAAAUUUAAUUAUUAAUCUUUUAAAAAAGAGUUAAAUUAAUUUUUUAAUAAAAAUUUUAAAUUUUAAAUACGGCAACUUUCGUAGUAGUCAAAGAGCAUUUCAUGCUUCUUUUUAAUUUUUAUGAAAGUUUUAUAAUAUUUUUGAGUUGAGUUUUUUUUUUGAAUUUUUUAUAAUUUUAAAUUAUUUAUUGGCGUGGUAUAUAAGAUAACUAUUGUCAUGUCAGAUUGUUCACAUGGAUUGGCACGCGGAUUGUCGUCUCAAUUUCAUUAAAAAUUUAAUGUUUUAGUCAACGUAAUUUUAAAGAAAAGUAAUUUAACUCUUUUUAAAGGUUUAAUGCUCAAAUUUAGUUAAAAAAAGUAAGAGUUGAAUUGACAAAAAAUACAAAUAUUGAGGACUAAAUUCGUUAUUAUGCUUUUUUUUAACCAAAGAAUCCUUAUUCAGGGUCAAUAGAAAUGAGAGUUUAGAACUAUUAAUGGGUUGGUUCAGGUUCCAAUUUUUUUUACUGUUGGCAAAUUUAUAAAAUAUUUUAUAUUAAUAUUUAAAAAAUUUUAUAAUAAAUUAAAUUUAAAAAAUAUUUUUUAUUUAAAUUAAAUUUAGGUUAAAUCAAGUUGGCUUGAAAAAUAAAAAUCUACGUUUAAGUCCGAAUCUAGUCAUGUCAGGCCUAUCGGAUUGGGUGAGCUUCCUGACCCAUAAAUAGGUCUAAUGAGAGUUAAUUAAGCUUCGUUCUCUCCAAAUUUUUGAAAAAGAUUUUUAAAACUUAAUAUUUAAUUAAAUUUGCAUGUUGGUUUUAAGAUUUAUACCUUCAUAUAUAUAUGUUUUUUUUUUCAUGAUAAAAUGCCAUGAAAGGCAAGUAAUCUUUUAAGAUUAUUACAUAAAUCCCAUACGUUAAAAGUAAUAAAUUAUGUCAUUAAUUAUAUAUUAUCCAUUUAAAAAGAAAGGUCCUUUGGAUUUUCCUUGGUUCACACGUGAAUUGACUUUCUCUUUUCUUUUUUCUUUUUCUUUUUUGCCGUAUGUAGUAAAAUAGUCAAUUUUAAUAGAAGAUUUUAAUCACCUUAAUAAUUAGAUUUGAAAUUUUAAAUUUUAAAAAUCGAGUGAUUAAAUUUCUAAAAAUAAAAAUAUAAAGAUUAAAUUACAAAUAUACAAAUAGUACAAUAAUUUAACUAUAUUUUUAAUAUUUACUUUAUAAUUUAAUUGAAAAUACUUAAUAGUUAACCGAACAUGAAGUACGAUAAAAUAUGUAUUAGUUAGUAUUAAGGGUUUUUACUUAGACAAUAUAAAAAAAAUACGAAAAUGUGAUAUAUUGUAAAUUAUUUACGAAAAUAACAUAUUUUCUACCAUAAAAUUAUGUGUUUGUCAACCUGUCAGGCACAUCACCUAUAAAAUAUAAUAUUUUAAUAAAAUAAAUAAAAUAAUAAAUUAAAAACAAUACUUUAAUCUAAAAAAGGGCGACGCCAAAAGUCAUGCGAUACCCAUUUUUCUUAUUGACUUUUUACCCUUCUUUUUUAAUUUGGGUUGGUUGUGGUAUGAUUUUGAAUUUCAUACCUCUAUUUUAUGGAAAUUAGAAAUAAGUCUAUUUAUUUUAAUUUAUUAUAAUUUAAUCUUUGUAGGUUUUCGAAUUUGACUAACUUUUUUAAUUCGAAAACUUAAAAAGAUUAAAUUAUGAUAAAUUCAAAUAAUAGUUAAAAUCGAAAAUUUAGAUUAAAUUAUGAUAAAUUAAAAGAAAUGGACAAACUUCUAAUUUUCAUAAAAUAAAAGAUAUAAAAAAAUAUGCCACAAUCACCCUAAAUUAAAAAAAUGAAAAAAAUAGGAAAAGGAGUGCGGCCGGAUAUUUUGGGUCACCCCUUUUUUUAGAUUAAAUUAUUAAUUAUUAAAUUUAUUUUUAUUGAAAUAUUAUUUUUUAUAAGUAAUAAGAUAUUAUUCUCCUAGGUAAUUUACAUAUUUUCGUAAUUAAUUAAGUUUUAUUAAAGACACUUUUCCAGUGUAAGCCCAUUUCUUUAUUCAUGUGUUUACUCCUUGGAAGACAAGUUUCUGACUACAGAAUCCCCAAGUUGCUGACGACCAUGUUUUUGGUCUUUCUCUCCACCAAACGGCAUAUAAUAUGAAUGUGAGUCAGCAGCAUAAACCAUCGUUGAAAAAUGUUCAAUUCAGUUCUCAAACUAUGACUUGCAUUUCAAAUUCAUCUCCAAAGUCCAAAUUUUAAAAACUUGAAUCUACGUAUUAGAAAAAGUAAUUCUCUUAAAAUUUAUUGAUUUUCUUUUUAGAAACACAUUAAAUGUAAGCUAUUCAAUCUAUAGUUACAUAGGUUUUUACAAUUUGAUAAAAAUAUUUUAAAUAUAUCUUAUGUCAUGAAUAAAUAUUUAUUAUUUAAAGUGAUAACUACACAGGCAAAAGAAUCUUAUUGUGAUAAUCUGAGAACCCAGUAACUAUUUGAGGUAUGUGGAUCAAUUUGAAAUUUUAGCACUAAUUUAGGAAUAUUAGUUGAAAUUAAGUCCUUCGAUCUGUCCCCAGUUCCUGCUGAUUAGUAUUUUGUUAUUUGUGGAAAACUGACAAUAAAGUUAAAAACAGACUUUGAUAAUUGAUGCUAUAUUUUAUAUUUUCAGAGUCAAAAAUCACGUCUUUUCCCGAAGGCCACUCCAGUCUCCAACUUCCUUCUUUACAUCUUUUUCUGAGGUUCAGUGCCUUUCCCUUCUGCUCUCUCCGCUUCCAAUCUUGCUCUCCACGCAUUUCUCUUCUCCAAGUAUUUUUCUUGGUCUUUCUUUUUUAGUCUUAUUUAUAUAUAAACACAAAGCCUGAAGCCUUCAAACACUUGAAACCAAUCAAAUCUUUUAUCCGAACACACAAAACCCAAGUUUUUUCUUCAGCCAAAGCUCCAAAAAAGAUGGAACUUUUUGCUUCACAAUCAUCUUUACUACUGAGUUCAGCUACUAGUUUUGAUUUUCUACUAAAACCCAUUUUUCCUCAUGGGUUUUCUGCUUCAUUACACUUAGUUUUGUUGCUUUUAUUGUUAAUCUUAUGGAUGGUGAGCAGGAUUAAAAAAGUUAGUAGGGAAGGUUCAAAGGAACGACAGAUUUUAUGGUAUAAGCAAACAUUAGCUUGUUGUUUUGUUGUUUCAGUUUCCAAUGUUGUCUUGUGUUUGUUAAGUUAUUUUUAUUGGUAUACAAAUGGUUGGUCUGAGGAUAAGUUGGUGAGUCUUAUUGAUUAUGCAUUGAAAAUACUUGCUUGGGGUGCAACAUGUGUUUGCUUGCAAUGUCAAUUCUCCAAUCCUGGUGAACAAAAGAGGUUCCCUGUUGUGUUGAGAAUUUGGUGGGGUUUUUACUUUUCAAUUUCAUGUUAUUGUCUUGUUAUAGACAUUGUUCUCUUCAAAAAACAUGUUUCUUUCCCAACCCAGUAUUUAGUAUCUGAUGUCUUGUCUGUUGUUACUGGUUUGUUUCUAUGCAUUGUUGGGUUCUUUGUAAGAUAUGAGGGUGAAGAUAUCCUCCUUGAGGAACCCCUUUUAAGCGGAGAUUCUAGUGUUAGUAAUUGUGUAGAGUUGAGUAAGGAAAAAGGGGGUGAUACUGUAACCCCAUAUUCAAAUGCUAAUAUUUUCAGCGUUCUUACAUUUUCUUGGAUGGGGCCUCUCAUUGCUGCUGGCAAUAAGAAACCAUUAGACCUUGAGGAUGUUCCUCAGCUAGAUAGCCAUGAUAGUGUUAUUGGGGCUUUUCCAAAAUUUAAAAACAGGCUUGAAUCAGCUGAUAGUGAGGGGAAUGGUGUUACCUCACUUAAGCUGGUGAAGGCACUGUUCUUUUCAGCAUGGAAAGAUAUUCUUUGGACAGCUUUGUUUGCAUUUACUUACACGGUGGCUUCAUAUGUUGGCCCAUACCUCAUCGACACUUUUGUUCAGUAUCUGAAUGGGCAAAGGGAAUUUAAGGCUGAGGGGUAUCUUCUAGUUGCUGCUUUCUUUGUUGCCAAGCUAGUGGAGUGCUUGUCUCAGAGGCGCUGGUUCUUUAAGUUGCAACAAGUUGGACUUAGGCAGAGGGCUGUACUGGUAGCAAUGAUAUAUAACAAGGGGUUAACCCUUUCAUGCCAGUCGAAGCAGAGCCAUACCAGUGGGGAGAUCAUCAAUUUCAUGACUGUUGAUGCAGAAAGGGUGGGUGACUUUAGUUGGUACAUGCAUGAUCCAUGGAAGGUAGUUUUGCAAGUUGCUUUGGCCUUGUUGAUCUUGUAUAAGACCCUGGGGCUUGCAUCCAUUGCCGCUUUCGUUGCUACUGUACUUGUUAUGUUGGCGAAUAUUCCUUUGGGGAAAAUGCUGGAGAAGUUUCAGGAUAAGUUAAUGGAAUCAAAAGAUACAAGGAUGAAGGCAACAUCUGAAAUUUUGAGGAAUAUGAGGAUUCUUAAACUGCAAGGGUGGGAAAUGAAGUUCCUCUCCAGGAUUGUCGGGCUCAGGAGCGUCGAGGAAGGAUGGUUAAAACGAUUCGUUUAUACAAAUGCCAUGACUGCUUUCGUUUUCUGGGUUGCACCAUCCUUUGUGUCUGUAGCCACUUUUGGUGCUUGUAUGUUCUUAGGAGUCCCACUUGAGUCGGGGAAGAUCCUAUCUGCACUCGCAACAUUCAGGAUUCUUCAGGUGCCAAUCUACAACCUUCCUGACACAAUCUCAAUGAUAGUUCAAACAAAGGUGUCACUUGAUCGAAUUGCUGCCUUCCUCCGGCUCGAUGACUUGCAGCCUGAUGCUAUAGAGAAGCUACCCAGUGGUAGUUCCAAUACAGCGAUCGAGAUUGCUGAUGGGA